GAUCUCUAACUGUAUCUUCCCCAUUGUGUUUCUUUUUCUCUUUUCUUUCUCUAUCCAACUUCUUCUAUAUAUUUAGUCUGAUGUUUCUGAAUAUACAUCAGUUUUUCUUCUUUACAUCGAUGAUCCUCAGCUUUGUUGGAAUGAAUUGAAGAUGAAUUGAGUGGUGAAUCUGUGAUUCAACUGGUGUGUUGCGGAAGCGUUUGAAGACUGUGAAAGUUGAAGAUCGUAGUAAUCAAACAGUGAAUGUAAUUGUGAUUACAGAGUGUGUGAUUGUGUAUUUGUGGAUGAAGUCUAGGUGCGUUUAUAUAGAAAAAUACCUAGCGGCUAUGUUGGUUGGGUGUGUUUAAUUAUAGUAAUUAAUGAUUAUGGGAAUAUGGAAUAAUAUGAUAUAUGGAAAUAUAAAUAAUGGAAUAUGAAGAGUUAUGAUUAAAUAAAAGGGGGUGAGUGUAAAAUUUAUUAUAAUGUUAUAUUUGUGAUAUUAUUUAACGUAGGGGUGUAUCUCUAAUAUCCUCCCUCAAAUCAAAACCGGUUAGGGUUUGAUUUGAAUAUGUGGGUGCAAUGGGGUGUUUGAGUGAAUUAAUUGGGUUUAAAUUUUGGGUGUGUAUAUCGAUGAGAUUUAAUUUUUGGAUUAAAUGUUUGAAUGCUGGGCCACCUAAGGGUUUAGUGAAAAAAUCACCAAUGUUUUGUGCACUGGAGACGUGUCUUAGUGUAAUAUCUCCCGCUAAAACUUUGUCCCUUACCGUGUGGAGAUCGAUUUCUAUGUGCUUUGUUCGUUGGUGUGAGAUAGGGUUUCGAGCAAUCGCCUCUACUGUUGUGCUAUCGGUGAAGAUACGAGGAGCCGGUGAUCGUCGUAUUUGGUAUACUCCUAUCUCUUGCAAUAGCAUUGCCAACCAAGUUAUUUCACAUGUAGUAUAGGCUAAUGCUCUAUAUUCGGCUUCAACAGUUGAUCUUGAUAUGGUCUAUUGUUUUUUUGAUUUUCAAGAUACUAGUGAAGUACCAAGGAAGAUGGCAAACCCCGAUGUUGAUCGCCUAGUGGUCGGGCAACUUGCCCAAUCUGAGUCAGAGAAGGCAGAGAUAUGGUCCAUUGAGGAUCCUGUGAAAUGUAACCCCACACCAGGUGAAUCUUUUAUAUAUUUUAAUAUUCUGUAGGCUGCUUUCAUGUGAAUGUCUGUGGGUGUGCAUGUGCUGACUUAAAUAAGUCACUGCAUAUGAUAUGUCUGACCUUGUGCAAGUUAAAUAAACUAACUUGCCAAUUAUGCUUUUGUAUUUUUGUGGGUCCUCUAAUGGAACUCCAUUUUCCUAUGUUUUGUUUGAUUGCAUUGGUGUUUUAUUAGUGUGAUUAUUUGGUUGUAUUGGAUUAAUGUUAAUAUAUUUUUUUGUUUUAUAGUUGGAUAUUUUGUUUUGACUGUUUGGUGUAUUGUUUGGUUUACAUUGAGUUAAGUCAUAUUUUUCUAAUAGGUCUAAGGUGUAUUUUCUUUGCCCAAUAUAUAAGUCAUUGGGUGUUUUGGUGAAUUCAAGGCCUAGGAAGUAUUUGAGUUCUCCAAGGUCUUUUAUUUUGAAAAUUUUCUUUAAAUUUUCUUUUAAGGAAUUUAUUUUGUUUAUGUUGUUUCCUGUUAUCAACAAAUCAUCAACAUAUGCUAAUACUAUUGUGGUAUCUUUAUCAUCAAUGUUUAUAAACAGUGAGUAGUCUGUUUUACAUUGCUUAUAUCCAAAAUUGGAUAAAGCUUUUGAUAGGGUUUGAUACCACACUCUAGAUGCCUGUUUCAGGCCAUAUAGUGACCUAUUCAAUUUACAAACUGAAUUAGUGGUGAAUUUUUUGGUAUUUCUAAACCCGAAGGUAUUUUCAUAUAUAUAGUCUCUUCUAAGGUCCUAUAUAGAAAUGCAUUUUGCACAUCCAUUUGAUGCAUGUGCCAUUUCUUGGAUACUCAUAAUGCCAAGAUGACCCUUAGUGUUGUCAUCUUAGAGACAGGGGCAAAGGUUUCUGUGAAAUCUAUGCCUUCAAUUUGAUUGUAACCUUUGGCUACUAGCCUUGCUUUAUGUUUCUCAACAGUUCCAUCACUGAUGAAUUUUGUAGACCCAUUUACAUCCAAUUAGUUUCUUGUCCUCAGGGAUGCUUGUAAUGGUCCAAGUUUUGUUAUUUUCAAGAGCCUCAAGCUCUUGUUUAUGGCGUUGUUCCAUUUGGCAUGUUUAGAUGCCUCUUUGUAGGAAUUUGGGUCAACAUUGAUCUUUAUUGCUGAGAGCAGAGCAUAAUGUUCUGAAGUAAAGUUUUGGCAUGAUAUUAAUUUUGCUAUUGGGUUUCUGGAUGAUGCCAGUUGUAGUUUAUAGUCCUUUAGAUAUGAGGGUAUUCUUCUAGUCCUUUUUGAUGUUCUGUUGGUUUCCUCAUUGUUUGUUGGUAUUGUUCUGUCAGUCAUUUCUUUUUCUUCCUCUGACUCAUAUUGUUCAGUAGGUUCCAUUGAAGGAGGAAUUUGGAAAAUUUGAGGGAUUGAUGUUAUCUCCUUCUCUUCUUCUGACUCAUAUUGAUCAAGUAGAGGAGUGGUGUUUAUUGUGUAUAUGUUUGUUCCUUCUGAUGAUUCUUGAUUGAAGAAAUCUUUCUCAUGUUGUUUUGGUUCUUCUUUGAAGGGAAAGAUCUCUUCAAAGAAUGUAACAUCCCUGUUUGUGAAAAUUUCUUGAGUAGAUGGGUUGAGCACUUUGUAACCCUUUCUUUGGAAUGAGUAUCCUAGAAAAAUUCCCUUGAUGGCUCUAUUUUCGAAUUUUGUCUUUGUUUUGUUGUUUGUGGCAUAGCAAAGACAUCCAAAUACUCUUAGAAUGGAGAGAUUUAGUUGUUCAUUGAAUAAUUUGUGGUAAAGAGUAUCAUUGUCCAAAACAAUAGCUGGGGUUCUGUUUAUUAGAAAAACAGCUAUUAGGAUGCAUUCUCCCCAAAAUCUUAGGGGAAUGUUGGAUUGAAUCAUGAGUGACCUAGCCACUUGUAGUAUAUGUUGGUGUUUUCUCUCAACUCUUCCAUUUUGUUGAGGAGUAUAGGGGCAUGAUAACUGAUGUGCUAUGCCAUUUAUUUUUAAAACAUUUUGAAAUUCUUUAGAUAGGAACUCUGUUCCAUUGUCUGUUCUUAUAGUCUGAAUGUUUGCUUGAUGUUGGUUUUUAACAUCCAAUAUCUAGAUGAAUUAGCUGAAAACACUUAGUAGUUUUGUUUGUGCUUAAGUUAAAGGAUAAUCUUGUCUGUUUUGACAAAGGACAUGUAUUACAAAAUUUUCAAAAACUUUUAGGGAUACAUUUGUUCAGUAAAUGUAAAUGAUAAAAUCUAGAAGGUGCAGGGUGUCCUAGUCUUUGGUGCCAGAUUUCUUCGUCCUUUGAUUCUUUUUGUUGGCUGUGGUUGGCCUGGGAUGAUUUCAGCUUCAGGAUGUACAAGCCAUCUUUCUUCUCACCACCACCAAUCUGGUUUCCCUGCUGAUCCUGUAUGGAACAGAAAAUAGGGUGGAAGGUGAAAAAGCAAUUUAUGUCUUUUCUUAAUUUGCUUACAGAUAGUAGGUUUACUGAGAAGGAUGGUAUUUUUAAGACAUUAUGUAGGGUGAUGUCUUUUGAUAGGGAUAUAGAACUGAUAGUACAAGGUCCGACACACAGACCAUAGUACUAAAAGACGUAUCCCAAAGUAUCUAAUACGCAGAGGAGGGGGGAGUACUGGUGAUACAGUAUCCCGAACACGGUCACAACCUACCAGCAACUAGAAGUCCGGAUAGCCUAAGAUGAGUUAAGGUAUCUAUUCUAGGGUUGGGGAGGUCCCAGGUCGAAUCUUAGGAAGAUCGACUUUCCUGAGGAUCGACUUCCCUGGGAUCGACUUCUGAAUAAAGUCGAUCACCAGGAAAGUCGACCCCCAGAAAGUCGAUCUCUGGAAAGUCGAUCCCGGGACCCAAUCUGAUCAGUUUGGCAGUUAGGCGGUUACUGCCCAAAUGACCAUAUUACCCCCAUAAGAACCCCUAUAAAUAGAGGGCACCCCCCACUCAUUAAAGGCAAGUCAUUUGGAGAAGAAGGAUUCCUAGCGAAGCAGAGCUCUGCGCACUUGAGUUCCGGUCCGGUUUCCCGCGGAGUUCCCCGCUUGGCGCUUGCUUGCGCGUCUUGGAGUACUGGUCGGGUUUCACCCCCAUCAAGAACCACUUGAUGAUACUCUAGUGGUUUGGGAGUUUAGGAGGUGAAUGUUUAUUGGAUACAAUAGUGUUUUGACAUUGUGUAAGGGGGUGUUGGGGGAAGACAUAUGAUUUUUUGCCCCUGUGUCAAUGAUUCAUUGAUCAUUUUCUGGUUCAGUAUGUUGCAUCGUGUAUGAGUUUAGUGUGUAAUGAAAACAUGUAUUAUUUUUAGAAUAUGAUUUACCAGAUGAGCUUCCAGAAGCCAUGUGAGCUUGACUCUGGUUCCCUUUGAAGAUUCCUCCCAGUAUGUUUAUGAGCUCUUCUCUGGUGAUGAAUUUGUUUUCAGUUUUAUCCUCAAUUGAAUUUUGGCCAUCAUCUUCUGAUUAUGUGUUGGCAUUGUUGCUUUGAUGUUUUCCCUUGUAUCCUUUGUUGGGCUUCCCAUUGAAGCCCUUUUUUCCAUUAAAUUUUGUGGUGUUUUCUUUCUUCUUGUUGAAGUCUACUCCAUGAAGCCCAUGUCCUCAUGGAAAACCAUAUUCAUAGAAGCAUGUUUCCAAGAUGUGGUUAUGCUUCUUGCAUCUAGUACAGUAAGGCUUGGAGUCUUCACUUUGAGUUUGUGUUUUUGCUUGGGGUGUAAAGUUUCUGGUUUGUGUCACCAUGGCACUCCCUUCCUCAGGGUAGAUGCACUCUCUUUGUGUUUCUUCCUGGAGAACCAUUCUGAAAGCAUCAUCUACUUAGGGUGGUGUUUUCUUCUUUAAUAUUUGCCCCCUGAUUGACAAAUAUGUGUCAUUGAGGCCAGUGGUGAAAGUGAUUAGUCUUUCCAGAUUUUCUUUGGCUAUGCAAUUGGGAUUGUUGCAGUAUUCAAAGAUCUGGUUGUUGUCUAACUCAUUCCAGAGUCCCUGCAGUUUAGCAUAAAAAUUGCUUACAGACUCAUUACCUUGAGUGCACAGAGCAAUUUGCCUUUUGAGUUGGGAAAUAACUAGUGAGUUUGCUCUGCUGUAUUUUUGCUUCAGAUUCUCCCAUAGAGUAGCAACAUCCUUUAUGAAUAUUGUGCUGCUACUGAUUUCUUUAGAGCAGCUAUUUAGAAUCCAAGCAGUGACCAGAUCAUUGCAUCUGAUCCAGGGUAUGAGGUGAUUGUCGGUGUUAUCAUUUGGUUUUGUGAUGGAUCCAUUUAUGAAUCCUAACUUGUUUUUGGUGGAUAGGGGUCUUUGGAUCUUAACUUCCCAGGUUUGAUAGUUUGGUCCACUGAGUGGAGUUACUACCAGACUUGAAUUUGGGUUGUCGCUCCCUGAUAUAUAAUAUGUGCUUCCAUCUUUUAUUUUGAACUCAUCAUUCUUUGUUGCCAUCUGCAGAUAAAGCUGAGAGGAGAGAAAGAAGGUUUAUAAGAAGGCACACAAAAAAUCUCAAACAGAUGAGGGAGCUGAGGAAGCAGAGGAUGAAUGUUGAGGCCCUGGAGUAUUUUGGUGAUGUAGAAGAUUUGUACUCUUCUUCUGAUUCUGAGUAUGAAAAGCCUCUUGUGUUUGAGAGUGGGCCAAGCAGGAAUGAUGAACUCUGGGCUGGAGAGGUGUGUGAGCUCUUUGAUUAUGACUAUGACAGUGAUGAUGUUGUUGAGUAUGAAAUGUGGAGUGAUCCAGAGGUGGGCUUGAAUUCUGAAGGGGAGACGGCAAAUGGUGUUCUUGCUGUGGAGAUUCCACUUCCUCCUCGUCCUCCCAAGGAAUUCUUUGACAAUAUCUGGAGAAAUAGAAUUGUCUGUGUUUUGAUCUGAUUUGCCUUUUUUGUGUCUUUUUGUGUUGGUUGACCUUUUUGGUGAGGCAAAAGUUUCUUUCCUUUGAAAGAAAAAUAAAAAUAGAAACAAAAAAUGCUUUCCUUUUUGAGAAGAAAAAUAUUGAAUAUUGGAGAUCAGGAUUUAUCUUCUCUGAUACCAUGAUAGAAGAAAUAUUUGAUACGCAAAUAUAAAUAUAUAUGAUAUUUGAAGAAGGUAUGGAUGAAAUGAAUGUUGAUCAAUAUAUGUGCAAUAAUAUCGAUAAUGAUAAUGAAUGUAAAGUGAUACUGUAGGAUGAUCGAUUGAUCAAGGAUUGAUGAAGCGAUGAUCCUCAGCUUUGUUGGAAUGAAUUGAGUGGUGAAUCUGUGAUUCAACUGGUGUGUUGCGGAAGCGUUUGAAGACUGUGAAAGUUGAAGAUCGUAGUAAUCAAACAGUGACUGUAAUUGUGAUUACAGAGUGUGUGAUUGUGUAUUUGUGGAUGAAGUCUAGGAGUGUUUAUAUAGAAGAACACCCAACGGCUAUGUUGGCUAGGUGUCUUUAAUUAUAGUAAUUAAUGAUUAUGGGAAUAUGGAAUAAUAUGAUAUAUGGAAAUAUAAAUAAUGGAAUAUAAAAAGUUAUAAUUAAAUAAAAGGGGGUGAGUGAAAUAUUUAUUAUAAUGUUAUAUUUGUGAUAUUAUUUAACGAAGGGGUGUGUCUCUAAUAACCAUUAAUAAAGUUAAUUAAUAAUCAAUUAAUCACCCUAAAAUUCGGAUAUCCAAAAGUCAAUUUAUAUUUAUUCGAAUAUAUGAAUAUUUGAAUCCGAAAUUUUUAAACGAAUUCGAAUUUUAACGACGGAUUUUUCGGAUAUUCGAAUCCGUUCGAAUAAAAUUUGGAUAUCAAUUUAGGUAUCCGAAUCCAGAAUCCGAAAAUCCAAAUUCGAAUGAACAUUCGAAUAUGGAUUUUGAUAUACUAUUUACAGGCUUACCGAACAUCAUCACAUUUAUUUAAAAACUGAUUGAUCUUUACGCAAAAAAUUAGAGUAAUUAAAAUCACAUCAUCACACUAAUUCAUGCAUGAGCCAAGAGAGAUACACCUCAAAGUUCUAUUCAAGUUGAUUAGAUACAUCAAGGGUGCACCUGGUCAAGGGUUAAUAUAUAACAAAACUGAAAACCAAGCCAUUCAAGGAUAUUGUGAUGCUGAUUGGGUAUCUUGCCAAGUUAAUAGGAAGUCCUUAACUGAUUUUUGCAUAAUGUUGGGAGAUUCACUGAUCUCAUGGAAGACUAAGAAACAAGUUACAGUGACAAGAUCAUCUUGUGAAGCUGAGUAUAGAGCAAUUGUUCAAUCAGCUUGUGAGAUAACAUGGAUCCAUCAAUUGAUGUAUGAGUUGAAAAUUAAAGUUAAAAAGUCAACUGUCUUGUUCUGUGACAAUAAAUCAACCAUCUAUUUGGCAAAUAACUCAGUGUUCCAUGAAAGAACCAAACAUAUGGAGAUAGAUUGUCAUUUCAUAAGAGAGAUGAUCAAUCAAGGAAAAAUAUUGAUAAAACAAGUUGGAACAAAAUUCCAACUUGCUGAUUUUUUAACCAAAGCAUUAGGUGAUAGAGAGAUCACCAAUUUCCAUUCAAAGCUUGGAAUACUCAAUAUAUAUUCCAAGGCUUGAGGGGGGAGUAAAGGAAUUAGUUUUGGUUGUAAUUAGGUCUGUAAUUAAACAGAGUCAUAAUCUGUUUCUAAUUAAUCAAUUAUCAAAUUGAAAAGAGUGCAGAAUAUUUUAUAAUCCGUAAAGAGGACCUAAUUGGAAUAAUCAAUUACUUAUAAACUUUUAACUAAUUUGUUGUUGAGUUUUCACUAUGCAGGAAAUUGACCAAGACUCAUACAAAGAGUAUUAAAGAAGUCGAAGGUCCAACUUGCAAAAGUUUAAAUAAAAACGAACGGGCCAAUUCUGAUGGGCUAAAGAAAUUGGCCGGUUUUAUAAAUAUAUUGAAACUUUAAAUGAUGUGUUAUGAUUGAUUGUUAAAUAAGUAAAUCAUGUAAUAACAAUGGAUUUAAUGAAAAUACAAAACUGUUGGUGUGUGGGCUCGUCGGUGCAAGCUCUCCACCUCAACUCUCUCAAGUGUUCACUUUCUAGAAUUGUCAGUUUCUCCCCCUCGCGGACCAGGGGGAGUAUUUAUAGUCAUUUACUCCAACGGCUCCUGGGCUUCGUGGGCCUUUGGCCGCCCAGCCCGUUCGGGCGCUUGGGCUCGUGGGGUGGCCAGUUCGGUCCAUGGAGCGGUCCAUGGUACCAACAAAAAACAAAUUACAAGUUGAGACAGAAUCGUACAAAGUACAAACUACUUCUGUUAAAUGCUUCUAUAGGGUUUCUAUAGGGUUUUUACCCUAUAGGCUCUUUGAAAGAGUACCUUAUGAGUAAUUCAGUCAUUCACAAAGACAUGGAAAGAGUCAAACAAAAAAUAACAGUUAUUAUCUCUGCAAAAUUGCUGAACAAAUAAUAACAGAGUUUUAAGAGAAGAAACGUGUAAAAUGUUACAUAACGAAAAAAGAGAGGAUCCACUUGCAUGCAGAAUUACCAUCACCCAUGUGUUGAAUCUGAAGUUGAGUCUCAUUACCUAACUUAGCAGACCCGGGUCUCUGAUACGGCAUCAGAGAUGAGAUUGACUGGACAUUUGGAGUAAAAUGAUCGAUGUGUCGCUCCAGUGUCCGGGUAUCAGGCUUCCAUGUCAUGUUGAUCUAGAUCACUUGUUGAAAAAUACGAGUCUGCAAUCUGAGUAUUGUUUGUAGUGGGCUGCCUAGGUAUUAAAUAAUUAGAAUGUUGUUUUUGGACUUGGGCUAGGUGAUACUGAGCUGAUUACAUAGGUGAGCCCACAUUAUAUGGUGAGACUGCAUUAUUUAUUUGUGAGUUCUCUUGGGCCGAAUUUGUGGUUUGGUAUGGGCUGACCCGAUAUUGACAUUUAUAUGAACUGUGGCCCAUACCACCACAAACAGGACAAGGGUUCCUUCUUACUUGGGGAGCUCUUCCUCUCGACCGCCCUCUUCUGAUCCCGUCUUAAAGUAAAUAACAAUAUAUAUUCUCUAAUAUAUACGGCUCUUAUCGGCUACGAAAGGUUCGUAUGCGAACCUUUGCUGAUCCGGGCCGUCUAUUUGUUUAAAUGAAAAUGGACAAUAGGUAAAAAUCAAUUUCGUUGGGUGUUAAUUUUUGGAAACCGGUAUUACCGGGCAAAUUUUUUUGCAACCUGCUAAUAGGCUAGUAGUAGACUAGGAGAAAUUUCAAAAGUAGGUAUACGAGUGUCACUUCAUACACUCUGUAAUUUAUCAGUCAAAUCAUAAAUUUUUCUAGCAUUACCCAAUAGUUUGAUUAUCACCGAAAACAACUCAUUCCCCCCACCCGAUUUACUUUCGACGAAAAAAUCCAGCGAAACCCUAGCGGCGUUUCCGGCGUCGAUUCACUCUGGCAGUCGCGUGUAUUCGGUUAGUUUUCUAAUUUUUUUCCUCUAUUUAAACAGUUGUUCUAUAUACUCUGUUUCGAAAUUUGUUUUUGGGUGUAGUUGAAGGCUUGCGAUCGACAUUGUUGGGUUUGAGGUAGAAGUUGUUUUGUGUCUAAAAUAAGGUACAUCUGGUUGCUUGUAUUUCUUGAUGUUUUAGCGGUUAUUUGUACUAAGCAAACAGUAAUUUUAUCUUCUAUAUAUGAUGAAAUGCACAAUGUGAGGAGGUUCCGAUCUGUCCUGUUUCAUUUUUUACGUUUUGUUUUGGGCAGAGUAAGGUACAUUUUCUUCUUUUUUUUAGCUAUUACAUGUUCCAUUUGUAUUGAACUUUCACAUAUAUGUAUUAGACUUUCGAAUUUGUUUAUUUUCAGUGAUUUUGUAAAAAUUUAAAACAUAAAGAAAUGUCUUCGUCGAAUCAAUCUAGCGAUCUCCGAUCAUCUCAAAUACAAUUAACCUAACCAAGAAGAGAUGAAAUAGGGGAUCCCGACGGUUUAACACUCUUUCUUCUGUUUAUUUUUUAGUGCGACCUAAUGAUUAUUCCGAUGCUGGCAGAGAGACAUUGAUUAUGUAAAAAUUCGUUAGUAACUGUAUAUGUUUGUAGGAGACGUAGACAUUGAAUUUACCCUUACCGACGUAGAUAGAGUGGUGUCCAGUGUACUUUCGGAUAUAAAUUCAAAUUUUCUGACCAUGCCUUUAGAGAAGAGAAAGCGAAAUUGUAAGUCAUUUCAACGUUAUCGUUAAAUUUCAAAAAUAUAUAAUUAUGAUGCUAUUAAUUAAAAAACUCGUUUUUAUUGUUUUCAAUUAAAACAGCCAGUGAUACUGAUUCUGAGGGCAAGAAAAAAACAGGAAAGAUAAUGCAUCUUGGGACAGCACUAGUGUGGGAUCUAGCAUUGCUAAGGAUAUAGGUGAAAGUAGUAAUGCUAAGAAGACAGUUGUCAAUGCUAGGAGGGAGAGGACAGAGGACAACCUCCAUAUCAGUGAGUAUUUAUGAAAAUAAUUUUUUUCACAACCACAGUUCUUUUGAAAUUUAUGUAAUUAUCUUUCAGUUAAUGAUCUGAUAAGACAUCGAUCUGGUAUUCUGACAUAUAUUGAUGUUAUCCGCAAUGGUCGAAUUAAAAUCCAGAAAUCAAUUAUGUGGAAAAUGAAAGAUACUUGUUUCGGAUCUUUUGUUGGCAUGGUCGAUUUCCCAAUAAAAUCGAGACUGUUGGAUGAUUUGGUUGGCUGUUUUGUUUGUAAUUACUGUUUUGAAAUCAAGGGAAAGAAAUUGGAGGUUUGGGUCAAGGAAAUCGGCGAAAUUAUUAGAGUUCCAUAUCAAGGACUGCCAAUUAACAUGAAGCCAAAGGCGAAACCCACAGGUGGAAGAUUUUCCUCAAGCAUCAUUCAAGAUGACUCCAGACAGCGGAGUGUAUGUUCUCACGACAAUGAAUUAUAUAGUCAUGGAGGACACCGUGCUAUGGAGUAGAAAAGAUGUGGAUCAAAUGGCCGACAAAAUCGUAUAUGAUAUUCUUCGCGCUGCACUUUUAGAUGUUAAAUGCUACUUACAUUACAAACAAAAGCUUAGAUUGUGUCUGUUAGGGUAUUAUGUAUUGUGUUUAUUACAGGUGAAUUAGUAAAUGGUACAUCUAUUAGUAUAUGUUAUAUCAUUAACUAAUUAAUUUAAUAGCAUUAUCAAACACUGAAAAAGCAUUAAUUAUAAGCAGUUAGGAUAUCUAGCCCUCUGUUUAUCGAGCAUUAAGGAUACCUUGGCCCAUGGACAUUGACCAUACACAUAAUGUCAUUACAAGCAAUCGGAGUAGCAUCCAGGCCAUUCAUUUGCAACAUUAUCAAGUAAUAAUAGCAUUAGUAUGUAGGUUACUAGCAUUAAGGAUAUCUUGGCCCAUGAUCAUUGACCACACACAUAGUAGCAUUAUAAGCAAUCGGAGUAGCAUCCAGGCCAUUCAUUUGCAAUAUUACCAAGUAAUAAUAGCAUUAUUAAGUAGGUUACUACGAUUAAGGAUACCUUGACCUAUGUUUCAUUAACCACACACAUAAUAGCAUUACAAGCAAUCAGAGUAGCAUCUAGGCCAUUCAUUUGCAACAUUACCAAGUAGUAAUAGCAUUAGUAGGUAGGUUACUACCAUUAAUGAUACCUUGACCUAUGUUUCAUUGAACACACACAUAAUAGCAUUACAAACAGUCGUAGUAGCAUCCCGGCCUUUCAUUUUCAACAUUACCAAGUAAUAAUAGCAUUAGUAGGUGGUUUACUAGCAUUGCGGAUACGUCAGCCUAUGUUUCAUCGAGCACACACAUAAUAGCAUUAGAAGCAGUCGUAGUAUCAUCCCGGCCAUUCAUUUUCAACAUUGCCAAGUAAUAAUAGCAUUAGUAGUUUGAUGAAGCACGAAAUCUGCUACCAGUAGGCUCGCGGGGUUGCGAGGAGGGCCGGAGGCUUUGGAGUCCACGACGCGCGCUCUACGUUAAAUACCUGCACAAGUGGAGGGGAGUCGGCGACUCAGGUGUGGGAGUCGGCGACUCGGGCUCCUUUGUUCUCUGGUGUCGAGUGUUGUGAGUCAAGGUGACAUGUGAAUGGAGGACACCCCUAGGACCCCUUUUAUAGGGUCCUGGAGGCGUUUCCAUUCAAUAGAGUGGGGCCCACCCCAUUAUGGUACCCUAUUGAAGGGCGCCAUAAUGGUGUGGGCCUGCCCAAGUAACGGCUGGGAAUCGCCUACUCCUUGUGGGAGUCGCCUACUCAGGUGUGGGAAUCGCCUACUCAGGUGGGAAUCGCCUACUCAGAGGGAAUGGGCUAGUCCCCACUGGAAUCAGCUACUCCCCACUGGAAUCGGCUACUCCCAUAUGUUGACUUGAGGACUUUGAUGUAGACACUUGCUCCGCACCGUGGAUGCCUUCCGGGGGUCCGGCGUAAAGCGACGGAACCCUAGUCCUUGUUGAGGGGCGUUGCUGGGAGUGACUGACGUAAUCAGGCAUGUCUCACCAGUACUCCCCCCUGAAGGGAGUACAAGAAACAUGCGUGUAUCGCCAAUAUCCCCCCCAAGCAAGGUGAUCUGCAUCAAGGCCAAAGCGACAAGAUGGGAUCGAAUCAUUGCGGUCACAGCGACACAAUGACUCCAUUAUCCAUGCACUAUCAGAUGGAUUGAUUCACUAUCAGAAUCUAGUUCCAGGCCAACGGAACUACGUGUUUAUAGUCCAACUCUGAUCAGGAGCGACUUUUGCUGUGUCACCAUCAAUGCCAAAGCGACAAGAUGAGGGGGAAUUAUUAAGGCCAAAGCGACAAAAUAAUUCCCGUCCAUUAAGGCCAAAACGACAAAAUGGAGUGACUCACUAUUAGAGCCUGAUUCUGGCCGAAGCGACAGAAUGCGUGGAUUCACAAUUAGAAUCUGAUUCUGGCCGAAGCGACAAAAUGCGUGGAUUCUGGCCGAAGCGACAAAAUGCGUGGAUUCUGGCCGAAGCGACAGAAUCUAGUUCACUAUCAGAACUGAUAUUUAUAGUCCACCCUGAUCAAGAGCGACUUUAUGUCCACAACGACGGUUACCCCACCGAGGCCAAAGCGACAAGGUGGGUCGAGAUCAUUAAGGCCAAAGCGACAAAAUGAUCUCCAAGUCUAUCAAGGCCAAAGCGACAAGAUAGAAGAAUUAUUGAGGCCAAAGCGACAACAUAAUUCUUGGUCCAUUAAGCCAAAGCGACAAAAUAAAUCUGAAUCUAUUAAGGCCAAAGCGACAAAAUAGAUCCGAUUCUGGCCGAAGCGACAGAAUCAUACCUGUAAAACAAAAAACAAUCUGCAAAACAACCAUAUCAGUCUAAAGGAUAUAUUUAUUGAUUUACUGACCUUGUUGUGUGGAGCAGCCUCUCAAGCUGCUCCUCCUUAUGCUCAAUAAAUCCUUGAUCGAUCUAGCCGAAGUGACAGAUUUAUCAUGCUCAAAAUGUGACAGCUUCUGGCCGAAGCGACAGAAGUGUCGGGAAGAGCUUAUGAUACUCCCCCCAGAGUUCGACGACUUCUGGCCGAAGCGACAGAAGUGCCGGGGAGAGCUUGUGAUACUCCCCCUUUGAGGUCAUUAAGGCCAAAGCGACAAAAUGACGUCUGGUCUGUCAAGGCCGAAGCGACAAGACAGACCGACUCACUAUCAGAGUCUGAUUCUGGCCGAAGCGACAGAAUCUGUUGAUUCACUAUUAGAAUUUGAUUUCGGUCAAGGCUACAGAUUCACUAUCAGAAUGUGAUCCUGUCCAAGAUGGCGGAAUCUUACCUGCAAAAAAUUAAACAUUCUGCAAAACAACUAGAUCAGUCCAAAACGCAUAUUUUAUUUACUUAUUGAACUUACCGUGCGAUUUUACCUUCCUUUGCUCAAAUUGGUCCUUGGUAAACCUGGCCGAAGCGACAGAUCUUCCCGUGCUCAAUGUUUUGACGACUUCUGGCCGAAACGACAGAAGUGUCGGGAGAGCUUGUGAUACUCCCCCCGAAAUUUGACGACUUCUGGCCAAAGCGACAGAAGUGUCGGGAGAGCUUGUUAUACUCCCCUCGAAAUUUGACGACUUCUGGCCGAAGCGACAGAAGUGUCGAGAGAGUUUGUGAUACUCUCCCUCGAAAUGCGACGACUUCUAUCCAAAGCGACAGAAGUGUUGGAAGAGCUUGUCAUACUCCCCUCGAAAUUUGACGACUUCUGGCCGAAGCGACAGAAGUGUCAGGAGAGUUUGUGAUACUCCCCAUCGAAAAUCAUGUCAUUGUGACACAUAACUUUUGAAAUGAGUUGUUUUCCGAAAUAUUUGACUACCUUUUGUCACUGGGCUACCUUUUGUUUUUUCUUUGCUAAUAUUUCAUAUAAAUUACCCUUUAAAUUGUAACUAAGGCCCGAAACGAAAUUCACAAGUCGUAAUUUAGCCACUCUGGACGUAAAUUAGACUCUGCUAACCCUAUUGCUAGCCACUCUGGGCGUAGACUUGGUCGUACGAAUCGUAGUUCAGCCUACGGUUAAAUUUACGGAUAAUUUAUACCUCCAGAUUAACGUAGAGUUGUAAAAGAUAGCGCGAAUGACAACUUUGAAAGAUGCAAAUACUUUAGACUCGAGGGUUACGUUUGUAAUUUCCAAUUACAACUUAAGUUUGAUCCCUGAUGCCAGAGGGAGCUUGUGAUACUCCCUCUUGAAGUGUGACGACUUCUGGCCGAAGCGACAGAAGUGUCUGAGAGAGCUUGUGAUACUCCUUCUUGAAAUGUGACGACUUCUGACCGAAGCGGCAGAAGUGUCGGAGAGAGCUUGUGAUACUCCCUCUUGAAAUGUUUUGAUAUUUUUGUAAUUUUUUGGAACUCAAUUUAAUCAAUUAUUUGGCUUUUUUAAUUAAUUGUUUAUUUAAUUUAUUUUUGAAUUGUAACUAAGACCCGAAAUUAGAUUCACAAGUCGUAAUUUAGCCACUCUGGACGUAAAUUAGACUCUUCUAACCCUAUUGCUAGCCACUCUGGGCGUAGACUUGGUCGUACGAAUCGUAGCUCAGUCUACGGCUAAACUCGCGAAAUAAAUUAAACUUCACAACUAACUAAUUAAGACUCGCGAAGCUAAUUGACGUAAUAAGUUGGAGAUACAAAAAUUAUCGGGAAUAGGACUUAGAACUUUUUGAGAACCUAAGAUUCUAGAUUUCAUUCCUUAAUGUUUAGUUGAACUCUGGCCGAAGCGACAGAGUAACUUUUGGACCCGCAUCAAGGCCAAAGCGACAAGAUGGGGUAGGAUCGUUAAGGCCAUAGCGACAAAACAAUUUAAAUCUAUUAAGGCCGUAGCAACAAAAUAGAUUUUUGUAUUGUGGGUACUUAGAACCUCUUGGGGUUGGGUUCAUUUGUAUUUAUCAACUACCUAAGACUCUACACUUAUACCCUAAUGUAGUUGGACUCUGGCCGAAGCGACAGAGUAACUUUUGGAUCCGCAUCAAGGCCAAAGCGACAAGAUAGGUUGAGAUCAUUAAGGCCGAAGCGACAAAAUGAUCUCCAAGUGUAUCAAGGCCAAAGCGACAAAAUGAUCUCCAAGUCUAUCAAGGCCAAAGCGACAAGAUAGAAGAAUUAUUGAGGCCAAAGCGACAAAAUAAUUCUUGGUCCAUUAAGGCCAAAGCGACAAAAUGGACCUGGAUCUAUUAAGGCCAAAGCGACAAAAUAGAUUUCUAAUGUAGGGUACUAGUUAGAGUCGUAGGUAGUGAUUUCGAAAGAGUGUCACAAAAAUACAAUCUAACUAUUCUAUUUUGUAACUUGUACUAGCAUAGAGACUAAGAGACUACAUUUUAGGACUACAAUUCUAGACUUGAACCCUGGUGUAUUAGUCAAGCUCUGGCCAUAGCGAUAGAGUGACUCUCGAUCCUCAUCAAGGCCAUAGCGACAAGAUGGGAUAGGAUCAUUAAGGCCAAAGAGACAAAAUGAUCCUUGGUCUAUUAAGGUCAUAGCGACAAAAUAGAUUGAAAACGAGGGUAUCAUUGAUUGUAGUCGUAAAUUUAGAAUCUCGGGGCUAGAUUCGUGAAUGAGAGUCCGAUUUAGAUUCUUAAAUCGCACUUUGGAAUCAUAAAUCGUAAACUAGACUUGUGAUCGCAAUUUAACCACUCUGGACGUAAAUUGGAUUUUGUAAUCAUCACUUAGACUCGCGGGUCGUAAGCUAGGUCUGAGCAACGGGUAUCAUCCAGCCAAAGCGAUGGAUGAUACAUGAGGAUGAAGAGACGGACGUCAUCUAGCCGAAGCGAUGGAUGAUUGAUCCGUCUGAAGCGAUGGAUGAUUAUUCUAAAUACGAUACUGCAUAUAUCUAUAUCGAUUAAAGAGAGAUUUAUUUAGAAUAAUAUCGCUAUUGAGAAUACAUGAGAAUAGUAUGAGCGACAAACAAAAGAAUUAACGUGUUUUUUUGGUCGCUGGUUGCCACUGACAGAAGCAUAGCCUGCAUGGUUAUUCUGGCCAAUCCUAUCUCUUAACAGGUGAUAGUUCCUCACUACUAGCGUGAUGUACUUGAUUGCGAGUGUGAACUGUGGCUCUGGUUUCCAUCACUGUCAUAGGAUUGAGAGCGUGGGCUAUGGUCAUAACUGUUACUGGGCCGAGAGUGUGAGCUAUGGCUUUUUUGGCCAUAACUGUUACCAGACUGAGAGUAUGAGUUAUGACUUUGGUGGUCACAACUGCUGAUGAGAAGCUCCUCUCUGUAUCGAGGAGGACUAGUCGAGGUUUCAGACUGGGAACUUGUAUCCUUGCAUGUAUCUUCUUUAGCAUAGCGAGCUUUUUUCUGGCUGGGCGGCUCGACUCCGUCCAGCUUAUUAUUGUUCUCCUCUUCUAUCUCAAUGAACGAUUGAGCUCGUUGGAAGAGGUCGGGGAGGGUCUCCACUUUAUGGAGCGUAAGGUUCUGGGCCAAAGGGGAGUAGGGUACUAGCCCAUUCAUGUACCCCGCUAUGGCCAGACUCGGGAUUAGGUCGUUCACCUCUGUCAUCAUCGAAGUGAAAUUAAUCGUGUAAUCCCUCAGAGACAGUUUGUUCUGUCGUAAUGCGAGUAGUGCGUUGGCACUGUAUUUUAUUCAGAUCAUUCCCACAUGUUGGGCGAUGAACUUCGAAGAGAGGUCCGCGAAGUUGGAGACCGAGCCAGCAGGCAGACCAGGGAACUACCGAUAAGCGUUGCCUUUGAGAGUGCCGGGGAAUGCCCGACACAACAGUCCGCUAUCGAUGGUCUGCGGUUCCAAGAUACUAAGGUAGAGGUUGAUGUGAUCUUUGGGAUCACUCGAACCGUCAUACGCUUCUAUCUUGGGUACCCGCCAGGUUGGUGGAAAAGAUUCUUUCAAAAGGUCCUUGUGAAAAGGAGAGCUUUUGAUUCUCAAGAGCUCGAUCGGAUUGCUGGCGGCCGGAUUGUCGGCCAGCUUCCGACGGAGAUCUUCCACGAACUUUGUUGUAAGAGUCUUGUGAGUGAGACUCUUGCUAGGUCCAACCUUUGCUUUAGGAGGCACUAGAGAUUUCCUCUUUUUCUCCGCAGACAGAGAAUAGUAAGACCCAUAUUUACCCGCUCCUUCGCGAAUGAUGGUCUUGUUGCCCCUCGCUUUCUCGAGGUUGCUAACUCUUUUUUCUAUGGAAUCCAUAAAGUUAAUCAACCUCUCUUGUAGCGCAGGAGUUAGGUUUACUCCCCCAUUUGAUGGGAGCGAUGAGGGCACCUCAUGUGUCGAUAGUGGUAUAUUGGGGGUUGGUAUAAUACGGGAACCAACCCUCCUACCAGAAGCUCCUACCUCAGUAGCAAUGGCGAGAGCUUUCUUUUUAUGAUCCUUAGUAAAAGGAGCCAUAAAUAGGAUGGUUGCUUCUAUCGGGUCGAAGCAACAGACUACGAGUGGGAGUUCUUCCGAAGUGCCGGAAGCUAUGGGUAGGUAACUGCCCCCCCCGGGUGUCACAAAACAGAAAAAUUUUGUACAAUAUUUCUUUGUGAUUUUGUGACCCCCUUGAGCAGUACUACUAGUCCCCCAAAGUUUGAGUGCUUGAAGUGUGUUUCUGGAAUUAUUCCUAAGGGGUACGCUAGCUCGUCUANNNNNNNNNNNNNNNNNNNNNNNNNNNNNNNNNNNNNNNNNNNNNNNNNNNNNNNNNNNNNNNNNNNNNNNNNNNNNNNNNNNNNNNNNNNNNNNNNNNNUAUCUCUUGCCCGUCUUCGUAACCCAGGUAGAAGAUGCCUGGGUGAACCUCAUCUAUGAUGACGUACGGGCCUUCCCAUCUUGCCGAGAGCUUCCCCUUCAUAUGGUCUACUCCCGUUACUUAGUGUUAAUAAUAAAAUAAAAUAUUAUAUUGGAUUGGAUUUGAAUAUUAUAUCUGUGAUUAGGGGUGGACGUGGGCGAGUUAAACCAGAACAUGUUGUGUACGGAUUCAGGUGUAUAUUUUNNNNNNNNNNNNNNNNNNNNNNNNNNNNNNNNNNNNNNNNNNNNNNNNNNNNNNNNNNNNNNNNNNNNNNNNNNNNNNNNNNNNNNNNNNNNNNNNNNNNNNNNNNNNNNNNNNNNNNNNNNNNNNNNNNNNNNNNNNNNNNNNNNNNNNNNNNNNNNNNNNNNNNNNNNNNNNNNNNNNNNNNNNNNNNNNNNNNNNNNNNNNNNNNNNNNNNNNNNNNNNNNNNNNNNNNNNNNNNNNNNNNNNNNNNNNNNNNNNNNNNNNNNNNNNNNNNNNNNNNNNNNNNNNNNNNNNNNNNNUGUUUCGGAUACAAAUAUGUGGAAAAUGAAAGAUACAUGUUUCGGAUCUUUUGUUGGCAUGGUCGAUUUCCCAAUAAAAUCGAGACUGUUGGAUGAUUUGGUUGGCUGUUAUGUUGGUAAUUACUGUUUUGAAAUCAAGGGAAAGAAAUUGGAGGUUUCGGUCAAGUAAAUCGGCGAAAUUAUUGGAGUUCCAUAUCAAGGACUGCCAAUUAACAUGAAGCCAAAGGCGAAACCCACAGGUGGAAGAUUUUCCUCAAGCAUCAUUCAAGAUGAUUCCAGACAGUGGAGUGUAUGUUCUCACGGCAAUGAAUUAUAUAGUCAUGGGGGACACCGUGCUAUGGAGUAGAAAAGAUGUGGAUCAAAUGGCCGACAAAAUCGUAUAUGAUAUUCUUCGCGCUGUUCUUUUAGAUGUUAAAUGCUACUUACAUUACAAACAAAAGCUUAGAUUGUGUCUGUUAGGGUUUUAUGUAUUCUGUUUAUUACAGGUGAAUUAGUAAAUGGUACAUCUAUUAGUAUAUGUUAUAUCAUUAACUAAUUAAUUUAAUAGCAUUAUCAAACACUGAAAAAGCAUUAAUUAUAAGCAGUUAGGAUAUCUAGCCCUCUGUUUAUCGAGCAUUAAGGAUACCUUGGCCCAUGGACAUUGACUAUACACAUAAUGUCAUUACAAGCAAUCGUAGUAGCAUCCAGGCCAUUCAUUUGCAACAUUACCUAGUAAUAAUAACAUUAGUACGUAGGUUACUAACAUUAAGGAUACCUUGGUCCAUGAUCAUUGACCACACACAUAGUAGCAUUAUAAGCAAUCGGAGUAGCAUCCAGGUCAUUCAUUUACAAUAUUACCAAGUAAUAAUAGCAUUAUUAGGUAGGUUACUACGUUUAAGGAUACCUUGACCUAUGUUUCAUUGACCACACAAAUAAUAGCAUUACAAGCAAUCGGAGUAGCAUCUAGGCCAUUCAUUUGCAACAUUACCAAGUAGUAAUAGCAUUAGUAGGUAGGUUACUACCAUUAAUGAUACAUUGACCUAUGUUUCAUUGAGCACACACAUAAUAGCAUUACAAACAGUCGUAGUAGCAUCCCGGCCUUUCAUUUUUAACAUUACCAAGUAAUAAUAGCAUUAGUAGGUGGUUGACUAGCAUUGCGGAUACGUCAGCCUAUGUUUCAUCGAGCACACACAUAAUAGCAAUACAAGCAGUCGUAGUAGCAUCCCGGCCAUUCAUUUUCAACAUUACCAAGUAAUAAUAGCAUUAGUAGUUAGGUUACAAGCAGUGAGAAUAUCUUGGUCUAUGUUCAUUGAGCACACACAUAAUAGCAUUAGAAACAGUCGUAGUAUCAUCCCGGCCUUCCAUUUUCANNNNNNNNNNNNNNNNNNNNNNNNNNNNNNNNNNNNNNNNNNNNNNNNNNNNNNNNNNNNNNNNNNNNNNNNNNNNNNNNNNNNNNNNNNNNNNNNNNNNUAACAUUUUCAUUUUCAAACAGUCGUAGAACAUUUCAAAUAUCAAAAAAUAAAUAUUCGUCUUAUAAGUGGUGUCAAAUGUAACAGUGAUCUCCGAAUAACUUAAAUUGUUGAAUCAUUAUGGAAUCAACCCAAAAAACAUGUUUAAGUCUACCACUAGAAUCCUUGACAAUAGAAUAAAAGAAAUCCGGUUGUACAGACUUCUUCAUUUCGAAUUCCUCGACCAGUAGAUCAACGUCAUAAUUCUUCAGAUCGACACGAUCGUCACGACACAUAUUCGAUAUAUCCAAUUGCGUACAUCCCAUAUGUUCGAUUCCACCAACUUGAGUUGAAAAAUAAGCAGUUUGCUGUGAAACGGGUACAUUGACUUCACUAAGAGAUUGGAAAAGUAAUCUGGAGGUAGAGGAUAUCGAACGAUUUAUGGGAAGGAACCGUACUUUUGACGAUGUGGUGAGGGGAUGAUUGUGCUCAAGAACAAUAUGUUUAACAAUCUAUACUUCAGACAUACCUUCUCUCUUUAUUUUAAUGCUUGCACAACAACCACACCUUGAAACUGCAUUCUUACGUCGCUUGCCUAAUUUAAGAGGAUGUAAUAGAUCAAUUGUUCCUUCUUUCGAACACAACAAUCAUCUCAUAACUAAAUUUUGUUUACCGUCAUCCUUACUGGUUUUAUAGUUAGUAGAACCCAAACGAACGGAGAAACCCAUUUUCGACGCAUAACCAUAAUAUUGAUCAAGAGCAUCAGAAUAUGAGGAAUAAAUUUGACCAAAAGUGGGUGGUGAAUUUAAUUUAGCAUUGUCUGAAGAAGAAUUGGUAUCAGUGGGUUGUUUGAGAACGAAAAAACUAGGAGAAGCAUUGACGGAAGAAGUAAUAGCAUUAGGUAGUCCAGUUACAUCAUUAUUUUCAGAAGAAAUAGUACGCAGAUUGUCUAAUGGAGUGUCAUGGUUUUGAUGAGGAACAUAAUUAGCAUUACGAAUAAGUGGGAAAUCAUUGAUUCUUGAACAUUGUACAUUACCAUGGGUUUCAUUAGGAUUACAAUCAGAUGGUUUUUCUGUUUGGAUAGAGUAAAAAUCGAGACUAACAUUACACUGAGGUCUAGAACGUUGUGUGGGUGGAAUCAAUGGUUGGGCAUGGAGUGGACGAUAUGGGAGUGGUGUGAUAUAUAUAGAGGAGGAAUUAGGAGAGAAAUGAAUGGUGUUUUGAGGCUCAAUGUUAGGUUAUUGUAAGGGUGAUGAUUGAUCAAUAACAUUUAAUGAAUUUAGAGUCAUACCUUGAUGUUAUGAAUAGAUAUGACCAAAGAAGAAGAAGAUCAAAAACCGAUUCCUAGAUUGAGGGGAGAAAAUGAGAUGAAGAUGUAGUGCUCUGUGAAGAACUUGAGAUGGGAAGAAGGUUGAAGAUGAGUAAAGAAUGAAAUGGAAGAAAAUGUAAGAUAAGAAGAUAGAAGCCUAACACGAUUUGACAUUUUUUUAAAUUUUUAGCAUUAACGAUAAAAAAGAAAGCAUUACAUGACUAAGGUAUUAGCACGGUCAACACAAAAAUCAACACUAGUACGAUGGAGACAUAAAAGUGGUAGUAGAUGGUUGAUAGAUGUCAAAGUCAUUUAAUGAUGAAAAGAUGGUAAGAAAAAAACAAAAGGGUAAGACAAAAACAAGAAGAAUAGAAGCUUGCGUGGAAAAAAUAAAACGAAUAAAAUAAUUAAAAAUAAAAUAAAAUAAAAAACUACACGUGGAUUGCAAACUGACGCAACCCACGUGUUGCGGAAGAAAGUUUCACUGGUUGGCAACCGGUGAAACAUGAAGGGUGGGAAUUAUUUGCGUGAUUUUGGAAGGCUGCGAUGCCUUCGCAUUGUCAGAGAAUGCGAAGGCAUUCGUAGCUGAUUUAUUUUGCUAAUAUAUAUUUCAAUAGAGAUGAUCGGGUAUAUAUGAAUGAUGGUGAUUGACUGAUUGGAUAUGAUAUGACUAUUAAAAUACCAUGACGGUUGCGGAAAAACAUUAUUGACAGUCUAGCCGUCAAAAACUUAAAAAGAAAAAUUACACCAGUGACCAUACCGUAAAAUUUUUUCUCUUUUUAAUAGGAAAAAUAGUAUCGCAAACUCGUCCUGAUUACCGAUGACCACUACAAAAAAAUAUAGGCAGUUCGGACGAAGCAGAGUUAACGAAAAUUCCGUUACAAAUACUAAUAAGCAAAGUUAACGGAAUUUGUAACGGAAUUUCCGUUAACUUUGUUGUUUCCGUUAUAAAUACUAGAUAUCAAGAUGAACUUAAAUAUUGUAACGGAUUUUUAAACUAUUUUUAACGGAUUUUCGUUUAAGAAUAGUAAUUAUUUAAUCAUUUUUCCUCCUAAAAAAUAAUUUCCCCAAAUAAAUUUUUAUUCACUCCUAUUUUCCCAAAUCGUUCUAUUCCCUCCUAUUUCCCCAAAUCCUCCUAUUCCCUCCUCAUUCCUCCCAAAUAAUACUAUCUCAUUUCCCCCAAUAUCUCCACCCGAUUUCCCCCAAUAUCUCCACCCGAUUUCCCCAAAUAUCUCAUUUCUGCCGGAAUUUUUCGUUCAGUCCCACAGUAUGCCACUUCGAUCUCCACACGCCGGAAUUUUUCGUUCAGUCUUCACAGUACCCCACUUCGAUCUCCACACGCCGGAUUUGUCAUUUUCACUUCAAUCUCCACAUGCCGCUUUUGCUUGCUUCGUUUCAGUGGAUUCAUUUCUGUUUUACUGGUAAGAAUACAAAAUCUUUUACAAUGCUUUCUUUUACAAUACCCUUAAAAUCCAUUCCAUUUUCUGUCUAUAAGAACCAAACCCUAAGAACCAUUUUUUCCUAUUAGUUUCUUCUUUUUCUGUCUAUAAGAUCAUUUUUUUCCUAUUGGUUUCUUUCCCGUUUUCAUUUCCGUUCCUCUUUUUAUAUACACAUGGAUUUACAGAUAGAAUUUAAAGAGUCUAUCUAAUUUGGUGUCUAUCCCAAUGUUUACUUCACUGUGAAGUUUAUAAAGCACUACACUUAUCUAUCUAUUUGUUUCUGUCUAGAUUUAUGUAUAUCUGGAAUUUAUUGGAAUUAAUAGAUCAGAUUUAUUUGUUAAUAGAUUUGAUUCUUAUGAUUAUUAUUAUUAUUUUCGUUCAUAUGGGAUUAGUGAACAAACAAUUUGUGUUUUAAUUUUUGAGAAUGUAUCCAUCAACCGUUUCAAAACAAUUUGUGUUUUAAUCCGAAAUCUUUUGCAAUGCUUUCUUUUACAAUACAUCCAUUCCAUUUUUUGUCUAUAAGAACAAAAUCCUAAAAAUCAUUUUUUUCCUAUUAGUUUCUUCUUUUUCUGUCUAUAAGAUUAUUUUUAUGUAAUUUUGAAUAGAUCUAAAUAUUGUUUUAGGAUGAAAAUGCAUUUUUGUUCUGUUCUGUUUUGAAGUUUGUAAAACCAUCCAAAGAUUAUAUAAUUGGGUGUUUAGACUGAGAUAAUAUUUAUCUCAAAUUGAUCGAUUCAUUUUCAUUUUCGUUUAGACUAAGAUUAUUUAUAACUAAGAUUAUUUUUUUCUUUUUCAGAUUUAUUAAAAGCAAAAUAUAAAAGCCAAGAAAGGUAUGUUGUAAUUUAUUUAAAUUUAUGAUUUUAUAUUUCAUUUGGCGAGUAAUGUUUUAUUCAAUUAUUUAGAAAUCAAAUAUUUUAUGAUAGUAAUUUUAUAUUAUUGCAUGCUUCCUUACAUUGUUAUAAUUAGUUAGAGUUAGUUAUUUUUUACAAGUUCCAAGACUUAAGACUUAAGAGUUUUAUGAUCAGAAAUGCAUUAUUUGUGUGAUAUUAUCUUAUUCUAAACAGGAUUCUGGUGACUCUGGACGUGAAGAACCUAGGGAUGAUGCAAAGAAGAAUUAUGUUGAACUUGUACUUGAUGAAUUUUUCAAGUAGGUUGGGUUUUUUCUUAUUACUACACUGUUUGUUUAGAUAUUUUGAAUCAUCAAUCAACAUUUAAUUUUUAGUAGUGGUUAUCAUCAUUUUAUUUUGGUUAUACUUAUAUAAAUCUUAACAGAUCCUUAUUUCCUGUUUAAUAGCUUGUUAGUUUCUUCACCUUCUCACGAUUUCCUUAUGAUUCAGGUAAUUCACGUUUUAAUUGAAGAUAUGUCUCGUCCCUCUUAUUGAAGGUGAUAAUUUUUGAUCCACAUAUAUGUAGAGGUUGAUUUCCUUGCAGUGUUUUUAGACCAUUUUACAGUUUAUAAAAUGCUAUAUGUCAGAGUAUUUGACUCCUUCACGUGAGUAAUUUACAAAACUGCUAAUAUAUUCUAUGAGUAAUUUUUUUAUUUAAAUUAUUUUUCUAUUUUUAUCAAUUUUAAAUGUUGAAUAUUUUGUUGUAUUCACAGAUUAUAAAUGGCUUAUAAGAAAAAGUUGGUUAAUAAGAAAAGAAUCAGACGAAGUCCUUAAGUUCCAACUCCAACACCAACUCCGACUCCUCAAGUUCCAAUGUUAUUUUAGAUUAUGAAUGUUACAAUGAAUGUUACAAUGAAUGUUAAUGAUGUUAUUAUGAUUUAUAACAUAUUUUGAAUGUUAGAUGAUUUUAAUCAUUAUAGUUGAAUGAAUUUAGGGAGUAAUAUUGAAUGUAAAUUAUGAAUGUCGGGAAAAAUAUAUAUACAGGAAUAUAUAUGCAUUCAGGAAUUUACAAAAAUUAUAAAUAUUGAAAUAAUUUAUAGGAAUAUUGGAAUAUAUAUACAUUUUGGAAUUAUUUUUUUUCCAAAAAAAUUUUCUAACGGAAAUUCCGUUACAAAUGAUAUUUUUUCAUUUUUCACGAAAUUUCUAACGGAAAUUCCGUUACAAAUACCUUAACUUUAACUUGAGAGUAUUUAUAACGGAUUUAAGUAUUUGCAACGGAAAUUUUGUAACGGACAAAAGUUAACGGAAAUUCCGUUAAAAAUAGUAUUUGUAACGGAAAUUCCGUUAACUUUGCUCGUCCUAACUGCCUACUUUUUUUUGUAGUGCUUGCACAACAACCACACCUUGAAACUGCAUUCUUACGUCGCUUGCCUAAUUUAGAAGGAUGUAAUAGAUCAACUGUUCCUUCUUUCGAACACAACAAUCGUCUCAUAACUAAAUUUUUUUUACCGUCAUCCUUACUGGUUUUAUAGUUAGUAGAACCUAAACGAACGGAGAAACCCAUUUUCGACGCAUAACCAUAAUAUUGAUCAAGAGCAUCAGAAUAUGAGGAAUAAAUUUGACCAAAAGUGAGUGAUGAAUUCAAUUUAGCAUUGUCUGAAGAAGAAUUGGUAUCAGUGGGUUGUUUGGGAACGAAAAAACUAGGAGAAGCAUUGACGGAAGAAGUAAUAGCAUUAGGUAGUCCAGUUCCAUCAUUAUUCUCAGAAGAAAUAAGAGUACGCAGAUUGUCUAAUGGAGUGUCAUGGUUUUGAUGAGGAACAUAAUUAGAAUUACGAAUAAGUGGGAAAUCAUUGAUUCUUAAACAUUGUACAUUACCAUGGGUUUCAUUAGGAUUACAAUCAGAUGGUUUUUCUGUUUGGAUAGAGUAAAAAUCGAGACUAACAUUACACUGAGGUCUAGAAUGCUGUGUGGGUGGAAUCAAUGGUUGGGCAUGGAGUGGACGAUAUGGGAGUGGUGUGAUAUAUAUAGAGGAGGAAUUAGGAGAGAAAUGAAUGGUGUUUUGAGGCUCAAUGUUAGGUUAUUGUAAGGGUGAUGAUUGAUCAAUAACAUUUAAUGAAUUUAGAGUCGACAUACCUUGAUGGAUGUCAAAGUCAUUUAAUGGUGAAAAGAUGGUAAGAAAAAACAAAAGGGUAAGACAAAAACAAGAAGAAUAGAAGCUUGCGUGGAAAAAAUAAAACGAAUAAAAAAAUUAAAAAUAAAAUAAAAAACUACACGUGGGUUGCGCGUGUUGCGGAAAAAAGUUUCACCGGUUACGAAGGGUGGGGAUUAUUUGUGUGAUUGGAAGGCUGAGAUGCCUUCGCAUUGUCAGCUGAUGCGAAGGCAUUCGCAGCUGAUUUAUUUUGCUAAUAUAUAUUUCAAUAGAGAUGAUUGGGUAUAUAUGAAUGAUGGUGAUUGACUGAUUGGAUAUGAUAUGACUAUUAGAAUACCAUGACGGUUGCGGAAAAAAAAUAUUGAAAGAGUCAAACAAAAAAUAAGAGUUUUUAUCUCUGCAAAAUUGCUGAACAAAUAAUAACAGAAUUUUAAGAGAAGAAACGUGUAAAAUGUUACGUGACGAAAAAAAAGAGGAUCCACUUCCAUGCAGAAUUACCAUCACCCAAGUGUUGAAUCUGAAGUUGAGUCUCAUUACCUAACUUAGCAGACCCGGAUCUCUGAUAUGGCAUCAGAGAUGAGAUUGACUGGACAUUUGGAAUAAAAUGAUCGAUGUAUCGCUCCAGUGUCCGGGUAUCAGGAUGCCAUGUCUUGUUGAUCUAGAUCACUUGUUGAAAAAUACGAGUCUGCCAUCUGAGUAUUGUUUGUAGUGGGCUGCCUAGGUAUUAAAUAAUUAGAAUGUUGUUUUUGGACUUGGGCUAGGUGAUACUGAGCUGAUUGCAUAUGUGAGCCCACAUUAUAUGGUGAGGCUGCAUUAUUUAUUUGUGAGUUCUCUUGGGCCGAAUUUGUGGUUUGGUAUGGGCUGACCCGAUAUUGACAUUUAUAUGAACUGUGGCCCAUAUCACCACAAACAGGACAAGGGUUCCUUAUUACUUGGGGAGCUUUUCCUCUCGACCGGCCUCUUCCGAUCCUGUCUUAAAGUAAAUAACAAUAUAUAUUCUCUAAUAUAUAUUUCAAUAGAGAUGAUCCGGUAUAUAUGAAUGUUGGUGAUUGACUGAUUGAAUUUGAUAUGACUAUUAGAAUACCAUGACGGUUGCGGAAAGACAUUAUUGACAGUCUAGCCGUCAAAAACUAAAAAAGAAAAAUUAGUAUUGCAGGCUGGUUAUUGACAAUCUAGUGGUCAGUAAUUACCCAUUAGAAAAAUACUAUUAUUUUAUAGUGACAGCAGACUGGUUUAUCUUAAUUUUAAUAAUAUAAUAUUAUAUCGUUAAUUUUAAUGUUAUGACUUAUUCUAUAAUACAAAUAUUAUCCGGGUGAUUUCUUAGUGUUAAUAAUAAAAUAAAAUAUUAUAUUGGAUUGGAUUUGAAUAUUAUAUCUGUGAUUAGGGGUGGACGUGGGCGAGUUAAACCAGAACAUGUUGUGUACGGAUUCAGGUGUAUAUUUUCGACCAUGGAACACGAUAUGAAAAACUUGAACCCGAGUUUUUUCAUCCGAUUUUUUCGAAUCGGGUUCAGGUAAACUCGAACCAAACUCGAUGCACCCAAAUUUUUUAUAAAAAAACUUUAAAAUAUAAAUAAAAUUUUAUUUUAUAUAAAAUAUUUUAUAAAAAUUUAAUAUAUACAUUUAAUAAAUUUCCUUUCUUCUUCUAAAAUUUAUUCCCUAAUAUUAUUAUCGAUUUCAACUUCUCUCUUAUCGCCGUACUCAUCGUAGUCGCCCGAUACAUCUUCACAUUUGAAUCUUCACAUUAUUUAAUAAUUAUUUGAUAUUUUAUCUUAUUUAAGAUUUUAAAAAUUAUUCGAUAAAAUUAUUUAAAUAACAAGAUUUUUUAUAUAAAUUUUUAAAAAAAAAUUAUUAAACCGGAACUGACAUCCAAAGUUAAGGUUUUAUAAUUUUAAAAAAUUCGAUUAGUGUGAUGAUAGGAGUUAUCAGGAUAAACCUAACAAUGAAUACGAAUAAACAUAACGAUGAAGAUUAAGAAUAUACUGAACAUAAUGAUAAAAAUCAGCUGCUGAUUCACAGAUGAUUAAAGUAGAAAGGUGUUAAAAAAAAUUCAAACUUUGCACCAGAGGUCCAAAACGAACAAUCCGGGAAUUUCUAAUCGAUCUCAGAUUAUCUCCCGUAUUUUUUCUUCCUUGAAUCGCCAUCAUUAUCAUCAUCGACAACAUCAUAAUCAUCAUUAUAGCUAUCAUCGUCUAGGGUCCCAAUCCAAUUAAUGCUGAGUCGUUUGAUCAUGUAUCGUAGAGAUUAAAGUAGAAAGGUGUUAAAAAAAUUUCAAACUUUGCACCAGACCGAACAAUCCGGGAAUUUCUGUUCGAUCUUAGAUUGUCCCCGGUGUUUUUUCUUCCUUGAAUCGCCAUCAUUAUCAUCAUCGUCAUCAUCAACAAUAUCAUAAUCAUCAUUAAUGCUAUCAUCGUCUAGAGUGUAUUAAUUAGGUGAGUUGUGGUACCAAUUUUACCAACCGAGAUGCAGGUUCGAUAAAUGAAGAAGAGAAGUUUGAUACAGGUAGAGAGGGAUCCAUUUCUGUAAAUAGAAGGGCACCGGAACGCGGGAUGGAGUUGGUUGACGUGAUAAACUCCAGGUUCCUGGAGCAUAUACCGGUGGAUUGGAUCGUUGUGAUGUUGGCAUUUGGUGGUUUGGUGAUUCUAAAAUAUUUCAUCUUCUUCCUGAGAUGGAUCUACGUCUACUUUCUGAGACCAUGUAAAGAUUUGAAGAGAGUUUACGGUUCAUGGGCAAUCGUCACUGGUAGCACUGAUGGUAUCGGAAGAGCCAUGGCUUUAGAAUUGGGUCGGAAAGGAAUGAAUCUGGUACUCAUCGGACGGAAUCCUGGUAAAUUAAAAGCAGUCUCCGACGAGAUCCUGACCGGAGAAUAUUGUCGUGGUUCUAAAGACAAGGACAGCAUACGUGUGAAAACAGUCGUGUUUGACAUGUCCGGCGACCUAAUCGAAGGAAUAGCUCUGGUCGGAGAAGCAAUCAAAGGGCUGGACGUGGGAGUUUUGGUCAACAACGCCGGAUUGGCCAACUCAGACGGUAUUUUCUUUCAUGAAGGGAGAUUAGAGCUAUGGAGGGAGAUUGUGAAGAUUAACGUAGAAGCUAUGACAAUGGUGAGUAAAGUUGUUAUUGAUGGAAUGAUAGAAAGAGGGAGAGGAGCCAUAGUUAACAUCGGCUCCGGAUGCACUGUCGUCGGUAGCUUUCCUCUGUUCGCCGUUUACUGUGCUACCAAAGGGUAAGAUAUCUGACUGUUGAUCACUCAUUUUACCAUUAAAAACAGAGCUACAUCCACUGAUUUCAAAAACCGUGGUUAAUUGUUCGAUAAUAUAGCCAUGAACUUUUUAUUCAUGACUAAGGUUGUGGCUAUUUUGAAAAUUUAGCCACAUAUUCUACUAUCUGUAGCUACUUUGGUGGCUAAAUUUCUCGGGAAAAUUUCCUUCCAUUUUGGCGGUGGCUUUUCCUUCUUUUACUGUUUUAACAAUUAGCCAUGACGUACCACUAAAUAAAAUACUCAUUGAUCAUGGUUAAUAUUUAGCCACGGAUAAUUAAUUUCGUAGCUAAAAAACAUUAGCCACCAGACGUACGCCCAAGACCCUUCCCGUGGCUAAAUUCAUGAUGUAGUCACAUAUUUGAUCAAAGGGCCACUGAUCCAAAUCAGUGGCCCUUUGAUCCAAAUCACAUGAUCCAAAUCUCGAGAACCAAAAAAUAAUCACAUAGAUCAAAAUGGAUGACUUAAUUUACAGGUAUGUGGAGCACUUUUCGAGAAGCCUCCAUGCAGAGUAUAAAAGGAGUGGUAUUGAUGUUCAGUGUCAGGUAAUUGAAAAUUAAGAAACGAAAUAUAUUUUUUUGAAAGUAACAUUUUUAGUAGUAAACUUAUGAAAUUUUGUACCAAAAAUCGUACAUUUUUUAGUUUAUUUCAAUUGAAUUUCUACUAAUUUUAAUUACUUUGCUUGAUCUCUAUGUAGGCACCUUUCUAUGUAUAUACAAAUAUGACGGCAAAAUAUCAAAAAACGUCAUUCUUUGUGCCAUCUCCUGAGAGAUACGCCAAAGCCGCGGUGUCGUGGAUCGGAUACGAUAGCGUCUGCAUCCCAUAUAUCAAUCAUUCCCUUCAAGCUUUUAUACUUUCGAUUCUACCGGAGUUCGUAAUCAACGCAUAUCUUAUGCGUGUUGGAAUGAGGUUUGACACUCUAAAAAGGAACAAUAAUUAACACACAAGGAGAUUAUAAAGGGUCACAAUACCUACUAAGGUUUCUGAGUGUUCAAAGUUUUAUCAAUACCUACUAAGGUUUAUGAGUGUUCAAAGUUUUAUCAAUACAUACUAAGGUUUCUGAGUGUUCAAAGUUUUAUCAGUUAUAUAAUAUGUGGUUAUAAUAUAUAAUUAAAAGUUGGAUAUUAAUUUAUUUGGUACUAUGGAAAGGAAACAUUUGAUCACAAUAUUUUUUUUCCCAUAAAUGUACAUCUUGAGACUACACAAUGUAGUUUAAAAAAUAAGUAUUGUACUACAAUGUAUUUCUUAUAAAUGGUCUAGAUUCUCUCUAAGUUUCACCCUUAGGAGUAUUUAUACAGUCACUCUUGGGUUCGGAAUCUUCAUAGACCGGGCCUAUCCUGAUGGUCCCAAUCUGUUGGACCGGGGGGGGUAUCAUAUAGGCCUAGGGGUGAGAACGGGGCGGUUCCCCCGAUAACGUUUCGUUCCGCGUCCCAGUAGUAACCGGGGUUGGGGCCAGGUGAACCUUGUCCUAUUUUUAACUUUUGACCCGAUGCCCCGGUCAUAUUCCGAGGCGGGUCUUGGGGCAAGGUGAGCCCCAGCCGGUUUUGCCCCGGUUUUUAAAUAAAUUAUUUUUUAAUAAAUUAUAUUAUAUUAGAUAUAGGACUAUUAGAAUUAGAAAUUUUAUACAUUUUUAAGUUUAAGCCUUAACUUUUAAACUUUAUGUCUAUUUUAGAUUUACCUUUUUGUUUUUACUUUUAAGAAUUAAGGUAAAAAAGUUACCCAUUUUAAAUUUUAUACUUAGUUUUUUAAUUAUUUUUUAAAAUUUGAAUUAAUUUUUUUUUUUUUUAAUUAUUUUUUAAUAAUUCCAGGCAGGUCGCCCUAGGCACCUGGUCCGAGACAGGGGAUCAUAGUACAUGACCCGCCUCGUUCUGGUAGAACGGGAUUGAUACCGAGGCAAGACUGCCCCGCCCGUGACACGCCCCGUUCUCACCACUAUCAAAGUCUGAUAAUUCGUGUAACACGACGCGACCGAUUGAAUCCGUGUCAACACGACGAAUUGUAAUAAUUAUUUUAUUAUUAAAAUAAUUAUUAACUAAGGGUAUAUAUAUUUUAUUAUUUUAACUCUAUUACAUAGUUAUCAUUUUAUACCUAAUAUUUUAUGGGUAUAAUAUUUUAUAAAGAACUUAAAGGAUUUUACAUAAAAAUAUUAUUUUACCUUUAUUACAUAAACGAUAACCAUAAAUAAUUAAUAAUAUUAUAUUAUAUUUUUCAUGUUAUCGUGUCGUGUUGUGUCAACUUACGUUUCUAGUAAUCGAGUUGUGUUUUUAAAACGACGACACUAUUAUUAAUCGUGUUAAAACUUUCAACACAAACCCGACACUAUUUUGAACCAGCUGCGAAUUCAGGAAUUUUUUCUUUUUUAAUUUUUGACGGCUAGACUGUCAUGGUAUUCUUGUUUGACUCUUUCAAUAUUUUUUUUCCGCAACCGUCAUGGUAUUCUAAUAGUCAUAUCAAAUUCAAUCAGUCAAUCACCAUCAUUCAUAUAUACCCGAUCAUCUCUAUUGAAAUAUAUAUUAGAGAAUAUAUAUUGUUAUUUACUUUAAGACGGGAUCGGAAGAGGGCGGUCGAGAGGAAGAGCUCCCCAAGUAAUAAGGAACCCUUGUCCUGUUUGUGGUGGUAUGGGCCACAGUUCAUAUAAAUGUCAAUAUCGGGUCAGCCCAUACCAAACCACAAAUUCGGCCCAAGAGAACUCACAAAUAAAUAAUGCAGCCUCACCAUAUAAUGUGGGCUCACAUAUGCAAUCAGCCCAGUAUCACCUAGCCCAAGUCCAAAAACAACAUUCUAAUUAUUUAAUACCUAGGCAGCCCACUACAAACAAUACUCAGAUGGCAGACUCGUAUUUUUCAACAAGUGAUUUAGAUCAACAUGACAUGGCAGCCUGAUACCCGCACACUGGAGCGACACAUCGAUCAUUUUACUCCAAAUGUCAAGUCAAUCUCAUCUCUGAUGUCGUAUUAGAGACCCGGAUCUGCUAAGUUAGGUAAUGAGACUCAACUUCAGAUUCAACACUUGGGUGAUGGUAAUUCUGCAUGCAAGUGGAUCCUCUCCUUUUCGUUACUUAAUAUUUUACACGUUUCUUCUCUUAAAACUCUUUUAUUAUUUGUUCAGCAAUUUUGCAGAGAUAAUAACUGUUAUUUUUUGUUUGACUCUUUCCAUGUCUUUGUGAAUGACCGAAUUACUCACAAGGUACUCUUUCAAAGACCCUAUAGGGUAAAAACCCUAUAGAAACCCUAUAGAAGCAUUUAACAGAAGUAGUUUGUACUUUGUACGAUUCUGUCUCAACUUGUAAUUUGUUUUUUGUUGGUACCAUGGACCGCUCCAUGGACCGAACUGGCCACCCUACGAGCCCCAGUGCCCGAACGGGCUGGACGGCCAAAGGCCCACGAGGCCCAAGAGCCGUUGGAGUAAAUGACUAUAAAUACUCCCCCUAGUCCGCGAGGGGGAUAGGCUGACAAUUUUAGAGAGUGAACACUUGAGAGAGUUGAGGUGGGAAGCUUGCACCAACGAGCCCACACAUCAACAGUGGUGAACCUGACGUGAACUUGAAUACACCAGCCAGCGCGAAGGAGGAAGAUGACGACGGGGAGCGAAUUUCGCAGGAGGGGAGCUCAAGGGAUGGACGCUACAAGCCGCUGAGAACCCCCGACGCGAGGAGACAGGCAGAACCGGAUGCGGAGGAGUACUGGCCGGCAUCGCUCCACGGGCGGGACCGGCACAAGGAGGAAUAGAGAGCCCAGAAGGAAAGGUUGCGCAUGGAGAUGGAGGAGAUGAGGUACGGGAGGGACUCGGCCAGGGGAAGCAAACGAAGCGGGCCCCUAUCCCCACCAAGGGAGAGAAGGCCGAGCAGGUCCCGAUCCCCCGUGAAGAGGAGAAAGGAUAAGGAGUACGAGAAGCUCUGCCGGAAGGAGCGCAUGGAGAAGAGGGGGGAUAGGGGCAGGCGAAAAACCAACAGAUCCGAUGGAGGCCAGAAAGCUGAGAAACAGAGCGGCAUGGUUCGCAGUGGCCCAAGGCAAGCUAUACCGCCGCUCGGCGGCGGAAGAGGCCUCCCUCCGGCUAUGCGUCUCGCGGAAGGACGGCAAGGCCGUCGCACGAAGCAUCCACGAGGGGGCGAGCGGGGCACACCAAGGCGGACGGGCGCUAGAGAGGCAAGUGGCCAGGCAAGGCUACUAUUGGUCCGAGUCAAUAAAGGACUCGGAAGAAAUAGUGGACCGGUGCGACGAGUGCCAGCGACACUCGAACAUCCAGAGACGGUUGUCCACUAUGAUGAAGGCAGUAACGACGCCCGUCCCGUUCACACGAUGGGGAAUCGAUAUCGUGGGCCCUUUCCCGCCGGUGUCGAGAGAAGGAAGUUCCUUUUCGUGGCAGUGGACUACUUCACAAAAUAGGCUGAGGCGGAGGCCACGAACACGAUGACCGAGCAGAACGUGGUGAACUUCGUCUUCAGAAGUAUCGUAUGCCGGUUCGGAAUUCCGAUCCAAAUAAUAACGGACAACGGGACGCAGUUCACAGGGAGGAAGCUGAGGGAAUUCUGCGAGGACAGCGGGAUCAAGCUAAUUAAGCUUCGCGCCGGUAUACCACCUGUAGGCAAACGGGCAGGUAGAAGUGACAAACCGAACCAUUGUCUCCAUCUUGAAAAGAAAAGUGGGCGAGUACCUGGACAAGAUCCCGGAAACUAUGUGGGCGUACCGCACAACCAUCCGAACCCCCACGGGCCAAACACCUUUCGCUCUCGCAUUCCGAAUCGAAGCGGUGGCGCCAGCCAAGCUCGUAUGGCCGACAGCCAGGAUCGAGCAGUUCCAACCGGGAACGAACGACAGAGCAAUGCUCCUGGAGAGCGAGUGCGUGAAGAUACGGAGAGAGGAGGCCACCAUCAGGGACCUCACGUACAAGCGAAGGGUGGCAAGGUAUCAUAUUGAGAGGGUAGCCGAGAAGAACCUGGCUCCAGGCGACCUGGUGCUAAGGAAUGCCAGAGUAACGGGAGUAGACCAUACGAAGGGGAAGCUCUCGGCAAGAUGGGAAGGCCCGAACGUCAUCAUAGACGAGGUCCACCCGGGCAUCUUCCGCCUGGGUUACGAAGACGGGCAAGAGAUAGAAAGGACGUGGCACGCUGACAACUUGGAAAAGUAUAAGCGUUGAAGACCGAGACGUCGCCCCGCCUUCUCCCUUUUCCCUUUUCAUGUCGUUAUAUUUUUUUCCCCUCCAACCAAGGCACGCGAUGCCAAAUGAGAAGCACCCGAAGCGUCCAUUUAUCUUUUAAAGGCUUUCUUUUUCGUUACUGUCACGUGCCCCAAAGACCGAAGAGUGGGGCAAAAGAGGGGAAGGAAAAUAACGCGAAUCGGAAACGAUAGGCAAAAAGGGGGCCCGCCGAAAAGGCCGGUCGAAGGUUCCUAAGGUCAGAAGACCACGCGGGAACGUUCGGUCGGCCCAGACCGCCCCUAGAGGGAAACGAGCAAUUAGUAAGAACACGAAACAUUGCAAAGAAAAGGAAAGUCUUCAUUAAAAAAAAAAACUAAUUAUGUAGGUACAAAAAAAAAAGAGGAAAAAAUGGCUAACCACAAGGACCGGCUAGUCGAAGGUAAGCGGAUCAACGUAUUCGGGGAAGUCAGCUUCGAGAUCCUCCUCCUCGCCUUUGCUCACGUCCAAGGGGGGUUGGCAGUCAGGACCGCCCGUCACCUUCCACUAUUCCCAGUCGCGAGUGCUCCGAGGCAUCACGACGUCCGCGAGAGAGGGGAGAGCAAGAGUGCACAUGGCCCGCCCAUGAACGUAGCCCUUCCAGAAACAGGCACGUUUCGCGUCCUUGUACUCGAUGGCAUGGUCAGCUUGAUCACGGCCCUGCUGCAAGCGAACCUUGGAGAGAAUGGACAGUUGGAGUAGCUGGUAAUGGAGGUCCUGGUUGAGGUCCGACGGCGCGCGGGCGAACUACGACACGUAUCCUCCUCUUGCAGCAACCAGGAGUUAACGUUGAAAAGCCGGUUCCGAAGAAUCCCCAGGGCACGAGGAAGGGACGAAGAUGGAUCGACCACGGCGGCGAGUUCAGACAAACGCCCGCAGGACUCUACGAAGGUCUUGAAGAGCUCGGGGUCCAGACCGUCAGACUCGAGUACACGCAACACCUCAUUCGAAGCCUCAGCAGAAGGAGGUGUACGUGGCAUGGACCGGGGACUUCCCAGCUUUUUCUUCUCGGCUCGCAUUUUUUUCCUCUGUCGCCUCUCGAUCCGGGUAUGUUUGAGGGCGACUUCAGGCUCGGACUCAGGCAGCAGGGACAGUGGAGGCGAAGGCGUCAGAAACACGGUCUCAGUGGCCGAACGCUUCUUACCGGCCGCACGCUUCGAUGGGCCAUCGCGGGUAUAGUCCGUCCGGAUGAACUUCUGCAGAUGGUCGCCAUAAGACCAAUUUGUAACCAACUCCCGGGCGCUGACGGAGCCGCGGCGAUAGACCUUGAUCAACACCUCGUGUGCGCGCGACUGUGGGCCGUCCAGGUCAGACAUGAGCGGAGGGGUGGUGCGAGUCUUUAGCUGCGAGAGAAGCCCCCAAUGAGGUGGCGGCGGUGAUUCGAGAUCAAUCGGGUCCAGGGUGUCCACCGGCACGAAGAAAAAACGGUCGCGCCAGUUGUGGGACCGAUCAGCCAAAUGAUCGAACAGGGGAAACCCCCCGCGCUGGCUGAUCAGCAUGCGUCGGGGAUCCUGAGGCAUGGUCAUUAUCUGGAACCAUAUCCGGAAGACAGCCAGAGAAGCUUCGAUCCCGCACCGUCGGCAAAGCAGCGAGAAAGUCAGUAGCCGGUCGACGGAAGCCGGAGGAAGCUGGGAGAAAGAAACUCUGCAGAAGCGCACCGCCUCGCACAAGAGGGGGGAUAGGGGUAGCUUAAGGCCGCAGUCGGCAUAGGAGGAGUACAGGGCCACCAUGCCCUCCGGCGGAGAGGAGGCACGCCUCCUCUCCGCCGUGCCUCCUCUCCGCCGGAGAGUCGCGGACGAGGGUCCCCAGAGAGACCCUGGGCGUCCGUAAGCGCAAGUCAACAGAACCGAACGGAGCGGCUAGCGAAACCGAGUAACAAGCGGGAGAUCCCAGAACGGGGCACGGGGAAGGACGGGCCAGGCAAUAGGGGGGGGGACGGAAGAACCGUCAGCGAACCAAAAGACGAGCGAAACUCGAGGAGGGCCCGGGCGACGUCGACGACAGACGUCGAAUAGCAGAAAACUGCAUCAACACGAAAAUGAAGAAAACAACAACAGAAUCAAAAUACUAGGACAGCCGAAAGCGAAAAGUGCAACGUCAUACUAACGGACAAAAAGUACAGGGGCCAAUAAUACAACAAAGGCCAAAAUUUUAAACAAGUUACAAGAAUAACAAAAGCAUAAAAGCAAAAUACGUCAGGGCACCCUGAACACCACGCCCGCGAGAGACCAGGGAGCGGGCGAAGCGUCACCCGAAGGCAACCUCGUUGGCCGAAAGAGCCCUAGGAGCGGGCGCGAAUCGUCUUAGGGCGGGCCUAGGGGACCCCGACAAAAAGUGGCGCAGGUCAGUAGCCGGGAGGGACGAGACCCACGAUGGCCGCGCGACCGACGGCGGCGGCUGACAAUUCCUUCCGGAGCGACAGCAGGAGCGGCGGAAACUCGACAGAACGCCACCAACAGGAGCAGCGGCGGGAGCCGGCCCCGGGGACCGAGACAUCGGCAGGAAGGUCGGUACGGCGCAGCCGGGAGAGACGGCGGUGAAUGUCUAUUAGCACAGAGUUGAGUCGCUGAGUCUCCGCCACAGCCACGGUGUUGGACUUGCCAGCGGGCGUCAGCAGGCACGCGGUCUACGCAGCAUGCUGGAAUUUUGUUCCAACUUGUUUUAUCAAUAUUUUUCCUUGAUUGAUCAUCUCUCUUAUGAAAUGACAAUCUAUCUCUAUAUGUUUGGUUCUUUCAUGGAACACUGGGUUAUUUACCAGAUAGAUGGUUGAUUUAUUGUCACAGAACAAGACAGUUGACUUUUUAACUUUAAUUUUCAACUCAUACAUCAAUUGAUGGAUCCAUGUUAUCUCACAAGCUGUUUGAGCAAUUGCUCUAUACUCAGCUUCACAAGAUGAUCUUGUCACUGUAACUUGCUUCUUAGUCUUCCAUGAGAUCAGUGAAUCUCCCAACAUUAUGCAAAAAUCAGUUAAGGACUUCCUACUGACUUGGCAUGAUGCCCAAUCAGCAUCACAAUAUCCUUGAAUGGUUUGGUUUUCAGUUUUGUUAUAUAUUAACCCUUGACCAGGUGCACCUUUGAUGUAUCUAAUCAACUUGAAUAGAACUUUAAGGUGUAUCUCUCUUGGCUCAUGCAUGAAUUAGUGUCAUGAUGUGAUUUUAAUUACUCUAAUUUUUUGCGUAAAGGUCAAUCAAUUUUUAAAUAGAUGUGAUGAUGUUCGGUAAGCCUGUAAAUAGUAUAUCGAAAUCCACAUUCGAAUCUUCAUUCGAAUUUGGAUUUUCGGAUUUGGAUUCGGAUACCAAAAUUGAUAUCCGAAUUUUAUUCGAACGGAUUCGAAUAUCCGGAAAAUCCGUCGUUAAAAUUCGAAUUCGUUUAAAAAUUUCGGAUUCGAAUAUUCAGAUAUUCGAAUAAAUAUAAAUUGACUUUUGGAUAUCCGAAUUUUAAGAUGAUUAAUUGAUUAUUAAUUAACUUUAUUAAUGGUUAUUAGAGAUACACCCCUACGUUAAAUAAUAUCACAAAUAUAACAUUAUAAUAAAUAUUACACUCACCCCCUUUUAUUUAAUCAUAACUCUUCAUAUUCCAUUAUUUAUAUUUCCAUAUAUCAUAUUAUUCCAUAUUCCCAUAAUCAUUAAUUACUAUAAUUAAACACACCCAACCAAUUGGGUGUUCUUCUAUAUAAACACACCUAGACUUCAUCCAAAAAUAAACAAUCACACACUCUGUAAUCACAAUUACAUUCACUGUUUGAUUACUACGAUCUUCAACUUUCACAGUCUUCAAACGCUUACGCAACACACCAGUUGAAUCACAGAUUCACCACUCAAUUCAUCUUCAAUUCAUUCCAACAAAGCUGAGGAUUAUCGCUUCAUCAAUCCUUGAUCAAUCGAUCAUCCUACAGUAUCACUUUACAUUCAUUAUCAUUAUCAAUAUUAUUGCACAUAUAUUGAUCAACAUUCAUUUCAUCCAUUCCUUCUUCAAAUAUCAUAUAUAUUUAUAUUUGCAUAUCAAAUAUUACUUCUAUCAUGGUAUCAGAGCAGGAUAAAUCCUGAUCUCCAAUAUUCAAUAUUUUUCUUCUCAAAAAGGAAAGUAUUUUUUGUUUCUAUUUCUAUUUUUCUUUCAAAGGAAAGAAACUUUUGCCUCGCCAAAAAGGGCAACCAACACAAAAAGACACAAAAAAAGGCAGAUCAGAUCAAAACUCAGACAAUUCUAUUUCUCCAGAUAUUGUCAAAGAAUUCCUUGGGAGGACAAGGAGGAAGUGGAAUCUCCACAGCAAGAACACCAUUUGCCUUCUCCCCUUCAGAAUUCAAGCCCACCUCUGGAUCACUCCACAUUUCAUACUCAACAACAUCAUCACUGUCAUAGUCAUAAUCAAAGAGCUCACACACCUCUCCAGCCCAGAGUUCAUCAUUCUUACUUGUCCCACUCUCAAACACAAGAGGCUCUUCAUACUCAGAAUCAGAAGAAGAGUACAAAUCUUCUACAUCACCAAAAUACUCCAGGGCCUCAACAUUCAUCCCCUGCUUCCUCAGCUCCCUCAUCUGUCUGAGAUUUUUUGUGUGCCUUCUUAUCAACCUUCUUUCUCUCCUCUCAGCUUUAUCUGCAGAUGGAAACAAAGAAUGAUGAGUUCAAAAUAAAAGAUGGAAGCCCAUAUUAUAUAUCAGGGAGCGACAACCCAAAUUCAAGUCUGGUAGUAACUCCAAUCAGUGGACCAAACUAUCAAACCUGGGUAGUUAAGGUCCAAAGACCCCUAUCCACCAAAAACAAGUUAGGAUUCAUAAAUGGAUCCGUCACAAAACCAAAUGAUAACACAGACAAUUACCUCAUACCCUGGAUCAGAUGCAAUGAUCUGGUCACUGCUUGGAUUCUAAAUAGCUGCUCUAAAGAAAUCAGUAGCAGCACAAUAUUCAUAAAGGAUGUUGCUACUCUAUGGGAGAAUCUGAAGCAAAAAUACAGCAGAGGAAACUCACUAGUUAUUUCCCAACUCAAAAGGCAAAUUGCUCUGUGCACUCAAAGUAAUGAGUCUGUAAGAAAUUUUUAUGCUAAACUGCAGGGACUCUGGAAUGAGUUAGACAACAACCAGAUCUUUGAAUGCUGCAACAAUCUCAAUUGCAUAGCCAAAGAAAAUCUGGAAAAACUAAUCACUUUCACCACUGGCCUCAAUGACACAUAUUUGUCAAUCAGGGGGCAAAUAUUAAAGAAGAAAACACCAUCCUCAGUAGAUGAUGCUUUCAGAAUGGUUCUCGAAGAAGAAACUCAAAGAGAGUGCAUCUACCCUGAGGAAGGGAGUGUCAUGGUGACACAAACCAGAAACUUCACACCCAAGCAAAAACACAAACUCAAAGUGAAGACUCCAAGCCUUACUGUACUAGAUGCAAGAAGCAUAACCACAGCUUGGAAACAUGCUUCUAUGAACAUGGUUUUCCAUGAGGACAUGGGCUUCAUGGAGUAGACUUCAACAAGAAGAAAGAAAACACAACAAAAUUUAAUGGAAAAAAGGGCUUCAAUGGGAAGCCCAACAAAGGAUACAAGGGAAAACAUCAAAGCAACAAUGCCAACACACAAUCAGAGAUGAUGGCCAAAAUUCAAGUGAUGACAAAACUGAAAACAAAUUCAUCACCAGAGAAGAGCUCAUAAACAUACUGGGAGGAAUCUCUAAAAGGGAACGAGAGUCAAGCUCACAUGGCUUCUGGAAGCUCAUCUGGUAAAUCCUAUUUAAAAAAUAAUACAUAUUUUCAUUACUCACUAAACUCAUACACGAUGCCACAUACUGAACCAGAAAAUGAUCAAUGAAUCAUUGACACAGGGGCAACAAAUCAUAUGUGUUCCCCCAACACCCCCUUACACAAUGUCAAAACACUAUUGUAUCCAAUAAGCAUUCACCUCCCAAACUCCUAAACCACUAGAGUAUCAUCAAGUGGUUUUAUAUCCCUAUCAAAAGACAUCACCCUACAUAAUGUCUUAAAAAUACCAUCCUUCUCAGUAAACCUACUAUCUGUAAGCAAAUUAACAAAAGACAUAAAUUGAUUAUUCACCUUCCACCCUACUUUCUGUUCCAUACAGGAUCAGCAGGGAAACCAGAUUGGUGGUGGUGAGAAGAAAGAUGGCUUAUACAUCCUGAAGCUAAAAUCAUCCCAGGCCAACCACAGCCAACAAAAAGAAUCAAAGGAUGAGGAAAUCUGGCAUCAAAGACUAGGACACCCUACACCUUCUAGAUUUUAUCUUUUACAUUUACUGAACAAAUGUAUUCCUAAAAGUUUUUGAAAAUUUUGUAAUACAUGUCCUUUGUCAAAACAGACAAGAUUAUCCUUUAACUUAAGCACAAACAAAACUACUAAGUGUUUUCAGCUAAUUCAUCUAGAUAUUUAAGGAAAAUAUCACACACCCACAUACCAAGGAAACAACUAUUUCCUAACCAUAGUGGAAUUUACUCAAGGGCCACUUGGGCCUUUUUAAUGACAAACAAAGCUGAAACACUAGGUAAAUUCAAACAAUUUAUAUUGGAUGUUAAAAACCAACAUCAAGCAAACAUUCAGACUAUAAGAACAGACAAUGGAACAGAGUUCCUAUCUAAAGAAUUUCAAAAUGUUUUAAAAAUAAAUGGCAUAGCACAUCAGUUAUCAUGCCCCUAUACUCCUCAACAAAAUGGAAGAGUUGAGAGAAAACACCAACAUAUACUACAAGUGGCUAGGUCACUCAUGAUUCAAUCCAACAUUCCCCUAAGAUGCUGGAGAGAAUGCAUCCUAACAGUUGUUUUUCUAAUAAACAGAACCCCAGCUGUUGUUUUGGACAAUGAUACUCCUUACCACAAAUUAUUCAAUGAACAACCAAAUCUCUUCAUUAUAAGAGUAUUUGGAUGUCUUUGCUAUGUGAUGAAGCACGGAAUCUGCUACCAGUAGGCUCGCGGGGUUGCGAGGAGAGCAGGAGGUUUUGGAGUCCACGACGCGCGCUCUACGUCAAUGUACCUGUAGAAGUGGAGGGGAAUCGGCGACUCUCUUGGGAGUAGGCGAUUCGAGCUCCUUGGAUUGCUCUGGUGUGGUGUGGUCAAGUGGGAAUGACUUGGGAGUAGAGGACCCCCAAGGUCCCUUUUUAUAGGGUCCUAGGGGACGUUUCCCCAUUCAUUAGCGUAGGGCCCACCCCAUUAUGGUGCUCUAUUGAAGGGUGCCAUAAUGACGUGGGCCCUCCCAAGUAACGGUUGGGAAUCGGCGACUCAGGUAUAGGAGUCGCCGAUUCAGAGGUGGAGUCGCCGACUCCCCAUGAGCCAGGUUGGCAGUCUACCAGAACUGGUCACGAGGCCUGGAGUCGGCGAUUCACCCCUGGAGUCGGCGACUUGGUAGUCCCAGUCGGCGAUUCCCAGGUGCUUCCUUGAGUACUUGACGUAGACACUUCCUCCGCAUUUGUGGAACUCUCCGGGGGUCCGGCAUAAAGCGACGGAACCCUGGUCCUUGUCGAAGGACGUUGCUGGGAGUGACUGACGUAAUCAGGCAUGUCUCACCAGUACUACCCCCCCUGAAGAGAACAUGGAAAAACACGCGUGUACCGCCAAUAUCCCCCCCCAAGCAAGGUGAUCCGCAUCAAGGCCAAAGCGACAAGAUGGGAUGGAGUCAUUGCGCUCACAGCGACACAAAUGACUCUGCAUGGUCCAUGCACUAUCAGAUGGACUGAUUCACUAUCAGAAUCUAGUUCCAGGCCAACGGAACUACAUGUUUAUAGUCCAACUCUUAUCAGGAGCAACUUUUGCUGUGGAUUCUGGCCGAAGCGACAGAAUGCGUGGAUUCAGUGUUAGAAUCUGAUUCUGGCCGAAGCAACAAAAUGCGUGGAUUCACUAUUAGAAUCGGGUUCUGGCCGAAGCGAUAGAAUGUGUGGAUUCUGGCCAAAGCGACAGAAUGCGUGGAUUCUGGCCGAAGCGACAGAAUCUAGUUCACUAUCAGAACUGAUGUUUAUAGUCCACCCUGAUCAAGAGCGACUUUACGUCCGCAACGACGGUUACCCCAUAGGCCAAAGCGCAAGAUGGGUCGAGAUCAUUAAGGCCGAAGCGACAAAAUGAUCUCCAAGUGUUGAAGAAUUAUUGAAGCCAAAGCGACAACAUAAUUCUUGGUCCAUUAAGGCCAAAGCGACAAAAUCGAUCUGAAUCUAUUAAGGCCAAAGCGACAAAAUAGAUCCGAUUCUGGCCGAAGCGACAGAAUCAUUCCUGCAAAGCAACUAUAUCAGUCUAAAGGAUAUAUUUAUUGAUUUAUUGACCUUGCCGUGUGGAGCUGCCUCUCAUGCUGCUCCUCCUUAUGCUCAAUAAAUCCUUGAUUGAUCUGGCCGAAGCGACAGAUCUAUCAUGCUCAAAAAUGUGACAGCUUCUUGCCGAAGCGACAGAAGUGCUGGGAGAACUUGUGUUACUCCCCUUGGAUUUCGACGACUUCUGGCCGAAGCGACAGAAGUGUCGGGAAGAGCUUGUGAUACUCCCCCCUUGAGAUCAUUAAGGCCGAAGCGUCAAAAUGACCUCUGGUCUAUCAAGGCCGAAGCGAAGAGAUAGACCGACUCACUAUUAGAGUCUGACUCACUAUCAGAGUCUGGUUCACUAUUAGAAUUUGGUUCACUAUUAGAACCUUUCCUGCAAAAAAGAAAACAUCCUGCAAAACAACUAGAUCAGUCCAAAAACGCAUUUUUAACUUAUUGAACUUACCGUGUGAUUUUACCUUCCUUGAUGCCUCUUCUUUGCUCAAUAAAUCCUUGGUAAAUCUGGCCAAAGCGACAGAUUUUACCGUGCUCAAUUUUUGACGACUUCUGGCCAGAGCGACAGAAGUGUCGGGAGAGCUUGUGAUACUCCCCCGAAAUUUGACGACUUCUCGCCGAAGCGACAGAAGUGUCGGGAGAGCUUAUGAUACUCCCCCUCGAAAUGUGACGACUUCUGGCCGAAGCAACAGAAGCGUCGAGAGUACUUGUGAUAUUCCACAUUGAAAAUGUGACGACUUCUGGCCGAAGCGAUAGAAGUGUCGGGAGUACUUGUGAUACUCUCCAUUGAAAAUGUGACGACUUCUGGCCGAAGCGACAGAAGUGUCGGGAUUACUUUUGAUACUCACUAUUGAAAUGUGACGACUUCUAUCCAAAUUGACAGAAGUGUCGGGAGAGUUUGUGAUACUCCCCCCAAAAUUUAACCACUUCUAUCCAAAUUGACAGAAGUGUCGGGAGAGUUUGUGAUACUCCCCCUCGAAAUUUGACGUCUUCUGACCGAAGCGACAAAAGUGUCGGGAGAGAGAGUUUGUGAUACUCCCCCUUGAAGUGAUUGUUAAUGGGCUAUCUUUUGUUUUAUUGCUAAUCUUUCAUAUAAAUUACCCUUUAAAUUUUAACUAAGGCCCGAAACUAGAUUCACAAGUCGUAAUUUAGCCACUCUGGACGUAAAUUAGACUCUGCUAACCCUAUUGUUAGCCACUCUGGGUGUAGACUUGGUCAUACGAAUCGUAGCUCAGCCUACGGUUAAAUUUGUGGAUAAUUUAUACCUUCAGAUUAAGAUAGCGCGAAUGAAAAAAUCCGAAGGAUACAAAUUUUUCAAACUCGAGAGUUACGUUCGUAAUUUACAAUUAGAACUUAAGUUUGAAUCCUGAUGUUGGAGAGAGCUUAUGAUACUCUCUCUUGAAACGUGACGACUUCUGGCCGAAGCGACAAAAGUGUCGGAGAGAGCUUGUGAUACUCCCUCAUGGAACGUGACGAUUUCUGGCCGAAGCGACAGAAGUGUCGGAGAGAGCUUGUGAUACUCCCUUCUGGAAAUGUGAUGUUGUUUUACCCUGAGUCGGAGACCGGGUGUCCCAAUCGCCGACUCCUAAGUUUUGGAUUACUGUGAGGAUUUUGACGACUUCUGGUCAAAGCGACAGAAGUGUCGGUAGAGCUCGUGAUACUCCCCCUCUUGUAAUGUUUUGAUAUUUUUGUAAUUUUUUGGAACUCAAUCAAUUAUUUUGUUUUCUUAAUUAAUUGUUUAUUUAAUUUAUUUUUUGAAUUGUAAGUAAGACCCGAAACUAGAUUCACAAGUCGUAAUUUAGCCACUCUGGACGUAAAUUAGACUCUGCUAACCCUAUUGCUAGCCACUCUGGGCGUAGACUUAGUCGUACGAAUCGUAGCUUAGUCUAUGGCUAAACUCGCAAAAUAAAUUAAACUUCUCAACUAACCAAGACUCGCAAAACUAAGUGACGUAAUGAGUUGGAGAUACAAAAAUUAUCGGGAAUAGGACUUAGGAUUUUUUGAGAACCUAAGACUCUAGAUUUCAUUCCCUAAUGUGUAGUUGAACUCUGGCCGAAGCAACAGAGUAACUUUUUACCCUCAUCAAGGCCAUAGCGACAAGAUGAGGUUCAAUCGUAUGUGUUGUGGGUACUUAGAACCUCUUAGGGUUAGGUUCAUUUGUACUUAGGACAUGAUUUGUGACCAUGAUUUGUGACCCAUAAUUUGUGACCAUGAUUUGUGACCAUCACUUAGACUCGUGGGUCGUAAGCUAGGUUUGAGCGACGGGUAUCAUCCAGCCAAAGCGAUGGGUGAUAUAUGAGGUUGAAGAGACGGACGUCAUCCAGCCGAAGCGAUGGAUGAUUGAUCCGUCUGAAGCGACGGGUGAUUAUUCUAAAUAUGAUACUGCAUAUAUCUCUAUAGAUUAAAGAGAGAUUUAUUUAGAAUAAUGUCGCUAUUGCGAAUACAUAAGAAUAGCAUGAGCGACAAACAAAAUAAUCGACAUAUUUUGGUCGCUGGAUACCACUGACAGAAGCAUAGCCUGCAUGGUUAUUCUGGCCAAUCCUAUCUCUUAACAGGUGAUAGUUCCUCACUCCUAGCGUGAUGCACUUGAUUGCGAGUGUGAACUGUGGCUCUGGUUGCCAUCACUGUCAUAGGAUUGAGAGUGUGGGCUAUGGUCAUAACUGUUACUUGGCCGAGAGUGUGAGCUAUGGCUUUCGUGGCCAUAACUGUUACCAGACAGAGAGUGUGAGUUAUGACUUUGGUGGUCAUAACUACUGAUGAGAAGCUCCUCUCUAUACCGAGGAGGACUAGUCGAGGUUUCAGACUGGAAACUUGUAUCCUCGUAUGUAUCUUCUUUAGCAUAGCGAGGUUUUUUCCGGUUGGGCGGCUCGACUCCGCCCAACUUAUUAUUGUUCUCCUCUUCUAUCUCAAUGAACGAUUGAGCUCGUUGGAAGAGGUCGGGGAGGGUCUCCACUUUAUGGAGCGUAAGGUUCUGGGCCAAAGGGGAGUAGGGUACUAGCCCAUUCAUGUACCCCGCUAUGGCCAGACUCGGGAUUAGGCCGUUCACUUCUGUCAUCAUGGAAGUGAACUUAAUCGUGUAAUCCCUCAGAGACAGUUUGUUCUGUCGUAAUGCGAGUAGUGCGUUGGCACUGUGUUUUAUUCAGAUCAUUCCCACAUGUUGGGCGAUGAACUUCGAAGAGAGGUCCGCGAAGCUGGAGACCGAGCCAGCUGGCAGACCAGAGAACCACCGAUAAGCGUUGCCUUUGAGAGUGCCGGGGAAUGCCCGACACAACAGUCCGUUAUCGGUGGUCUGCGGUUCCAAGACACUAAGGUAGAGGUUGAUGUGAUCUUUUGGAUCACUCGAACCAUCAUACGCUUCUAUCUUGGGUACCCGCCAGGUUGGUGGAAAAGAUUCUUUCAAAAGAUCCUUGUGAAAAGGAGCGAUUUUGAUUCUCAAAAGCUCGAUCGGACUGCUGGCGACCGAAUUGUCGGCCAGCUUCCGACGGAGAUCUUCCACGAACUUUGUUGUAAGAGUCUUGUGAGUGCGACUCUUGCUAGGUCCAGCUUUUUCCUUAGGAGGUGUUGGAGAUUUCCUCUUUUUCUCCGUAGAUGGAGGAUAGUAAGACCCAGAUUCACCCGCUCCUUCGCGGAUGAUGGUCUUUUUGCCCCUUGCUUUCUCGAGGUUGCUAACUCUUUUUUCUAUGGAAUCCAUAAAGUUAAUCAACCUCUCUUCUAGCGUAGGAGUUAGGUUCACUCCCCCAUUUGAUGGGAGUGAUGAGGGCACCUUAUGUGCUGAUAGUGGUAUAUUGGAGGUUGGUAUAGUACGGGAACCAACCCUCCUACCAGAAGCUCCUACCUCAGUAGUAAUUGCGAGAGCUUUCUUUUUAUGAUCCUUAGUAAAAGGAGCCAUAAAUGGGAUGGUUGCUUCUAUCGGGUCGAAGCAACAGACUACGAGUGGAAGUUCUUCCGAAGUGUCGGAAGCUAUGGGUAGUACCUGCCCCCCCGGGUGUCGCAAAACAGAAAAAAUUUCGUAUAAUAUUUCUUUGUAGUUUUGUGACCCCCUUGAGCAGUACUACUAGUCCCCAAAGUUUGAAAUUAGUAAAAAAUAUCGGAAAAAAUUUGCAAUUUUUCUGCAGAAAAUCGUGCUGCCGGAGGUGGUUUUCGGGAUGCCUGUUUAGACCUAUCCCAGAAAAGAUUCCUUGCACUGUUGGGAAAUUCUGCUCUUUUGUACUCGUAGAGAAAACUUUUUUCACGUGAACUGUGGUUGUAGAAUUCCAAAAUCAGAUCUGGGUAUUCCGGAGGUGGACGGACAAAAUCACUGGUAGUGAAAAAAAGUAAAAAGCCCCAUACUCUUUUUUUUUUACCGAAACGACGAUGCGAGUCCAGCCAAAGCGAUGGAUUUUCGUUUCGGUAAAAGAGCUGGGCUAUGUGUCGUCUUAUUCAGCCGAAGCGAUGAAUGAAGACGAUGACCGAAUGACCGAAUCGACAAUUCAACUGUGGGAAUCGCCUACUCGGUGUGGGAGUCGGCGAUUCAAUUGUGAGAAUCGCCUACUCAGUGUGGUCUUAUUCAGCCGAAGCGAUGAAUGAAGACGAUAACUGAAUCGACAAUUCAAGUGUAGGAAUCGCCUACUCAGUGUGGGAGUCGGCGACUCAAUUGUGGGAAUCGCCUACUCAGUAUGGAAUAGUUGAUUCAAGUGGGAAUCGACGAUUCAGAUGGGGAUAGGUGAUUUUCUAUGAAAAAUCCAACCUAUAUGGAAGUGAAAGUGCCAGAGCAAAAGGCAUUGACAGGACUUGCUCAAAAAGCUAAAGGAAUCGGCGACUCCCUAUGUGGAGUCGGCGAUUCAACUUAUGGCCUUUUUGAACCAAACCGUGGACAACACUCUUAGCUAGCAGAAUAACCCGCAAUCGGCGACUCACUAGGUGGAGUCGGCGAUUGCCUGUGUGUAUCGGAGAUUCCUUAACACAAAGUUAGCGACUCACCAUAAGGGAAUCGAGCUGAACUUUGCGAAGAAAAUUUCGCGAUUACGACGGGAUAUCGUGGUUCGAUAGUCCCACAGACGGUGUCAGCUGAUGAAGCACGGAAUCUGCUACCAGUAGGCUCGCGGGGUAGCGAGGAGGGCCGGAGGCUUUGGAGUCCACGACGCGCGCUCUACGUCAAUGUACCUGCAGAAGUGGAGGGGAAUCGGCGACUCUCUUGGGAGUAGGCGAUUCGGGCUCCUUGGAUUGCUCUGGUGUGGUGUGGUCAAGUGGGAAUGACUUGGGAGUAGAGGAGCCCCAAGGUCCCUUUUUAUAGGGUCCUGGGGGACGUUUUCCCAUUCAUUAGCGUAGGGCCCACCCCAUUAUGGUGGCCUAUUGAGGGUGCCAUAAUGACGUGGGCCCUCCCAAGUAACGGCUGAGAAUCGGCGACUCAGGUAUGAGAGUCGCCGAUUCAGAGGUGGAGUCGCCGACUCCCCAUGAGCCAGGUUGGCAGUCUACCAGAACUGACCACGAGGCCUAGAGUCGGCGAUUCACCCCUGGAGUCGGCGACUUGGUAGUCCCAGUCGGCGAUUCCCAGGUGUUUCCUUGAGUACUUGACGUAGACACUUCCUCCGCAUUUGUAGAACUCUCCGGGGGUCCGGCAUAAAGCGACGGAACCCUAGUCCUUGUUGAAGGGCGUUGCUGGGAGUGACUGACGUAAUCAGGCAUGUCUCACCACUAUGCCACAAAGAACAAAACAAAGACAAAAUUCGAAAAUAGAGUCAUCAAGGGAAUUUUUCUAGGAUACUCAUUCCAAGGAAAGGGUUACAAAGUGCUCAACCCAUCUACUCAAGAAAUUUUCACAAACAGGGUUGUUACAUUCUUUGAAGAGAUCUUUCCCUUCAAAGAAGAACCAAAACAACAUGAGAAAGAUUUCUUCAAUAAAGAAUCAUCAGAAGGAACAAACAUAUACACAAUAAACAUCACUCCUCCACUUGAUCAAUAUGAGUCAGAAGAAGAGAAGGAGAUAACAUCAAUCCCUCAAAUUUCCCAAAUUCCUCCUUCAAUGGAACCUACUGAACAAUAUGAGUCAGAGGAAGAAGAAGAAAUGACUGACAGAACAAUAUCAACAAACAAUGAGGAAACCAACAGAACAUCAAAAAGGACUAGAAGAAUACCCUCAUAUCUAAAGGACUAUAAACUACAACUGGCAUCAUCCAAAAACCCAAUAGAAAAACUAAUAUCAUGCCAAAACUUUACUUCAGAACAUUAUGCUCUGCUCUCAGCAAUAAAGAGCAAUGUUGACCCAAAUUCCUACAAAGAGGCAUCUAAACAUGCCAAAUGGAACAACGCCAUAAAACAAGAGCUUGAGGCUCUUGAAAAUAACAAAACCUGGACCAUUACAAGCAUCCCUGAGGGCAAGAAACCAAUUGAAUAUAAAUGGGUCUACUAAACAAAAUUCAACAGUGAUGGAACUGUUGAGAAACAUAAAGCAAGGCUAGUAGCCAAAGGUUACAAUCAAAUUGAAGGCAUAGAUUUCACAGAAACCUUUGCCCCUGUCUCUAAGAUGACAACACUAAGGGUCAUCUUAGCAAUAGGAGUAUCCAAGAAAUGGCACAUGCAUCAAAUGGAUGUGCAAAAUGCAUUUCUAUAUGGGAUCUUAGAAGAGACUAUAUAUAUGAAAAUACCUUCGGGUUUAGAAAUACCAAAAAAUUCACCACCUAAUUCAGUUUGUAAAUUGAAUAGAUCACUAUAUGGCCUGAAACAAACAUCUAGAGUGUGGUAUCAAACCCUAUCAAAAGCUUUAUCCAAUUUUGGAUACAAGCAAUGUAAAACAGACUACUCACUGUUUAUAAACAUUGAUGAUAAAGAUACCACAAUAGUAUUAGCAUAUGUUGAUGAUCUGUUGAUAACAGGAAACAACAUAAACAAAAUAAAUUCCUUAAAAGAAAAUUUAAAGAAAAUUUUCAAAAUAAAAGACCUUGGAGAACUCAAAUACUUCCUAGGCCUUGAAUUCACCAAAACACCCAAUGGCUUAUAUAUUGGGCAAAGAAAAUACACCUUAGACCUAUUAGAAAAAUAUGACUUAACUCAAUGUAAACCAAACAAUACACCUAACAGUCAAAAACAAAUAUCCAACUAUAAAACAAAAAAAUAUAUUAACAUUAAUCCAAUACAACCAAAUAAUCACACUAAUAAAACACCAAUGCAAUCAAACAAAACAGAGGAAAAUGGAGUUCCAUUAGAGGACCCAUAAAAAUACAGAAGCAUAAUUGGCAAGUUAGUUUAUUUAACUUGCACAAGGCCAGACAUAUCAUAUGCAGUGACUUAUUUAAGUCAGCACAUGGCCACACCCACAGACAUUCACAUGAAAGCAUCCUACAGAGUAUUAAAAUAUAUAAAAGGAUCACCUGGUGUGGGGUUACAUUUCACAGGAUCCUCAAUGGACCACAUCUCUGCCUUCUCUGACUCAGAUUGGGCAAGUUGCCCGACCACUAGGCGAUCAACAUCGGGGUUUUCCAUCUUCCUUGGUACUUCACUAGUAUCUUGAAAAUCAAAAAAAUAAUAGACCAUAUCAAGAUCAUUAGCCUAUAUUAUCCAAUACAGCCGAAUAUAGACAUUAGCCUAUACUACAUGUGAAAUAACUUGGUUGACAAUGCUAUUGCAAAAGAUAGGAGUAUACCAAAUACAACGAUCACCGGCUCCUCGUAUCUUCACCGAUAGCACAGCAGCAGAGGCGAUUGCUCGAAACCCUAUCUCACACCAACGAACAAAGCACAUAGAAAUCGAUCUCCACACGGUAAGGGACAAAGUUUUAGCGGGAGAUAUUACACUAAGACACGUCUCCAGUGCACAAAACAUUGGUGAUUUUUUCACUAAACCCUUAGGUGGCCCAGCAUUCAAACAUUUAAUCCAAAAAUUAAAUCUCAUCGAUAUACACACCCAAAAUUCAAACCCAAUUAAUUCACUAAAAACACCCCAUUGCUCCCACAUAUUCAAAUCAAACCCUAACUGGUUUUGAUUUGAGGGAGGAUAUUAGAGAUACACCCCUACGUUAAAUAAUAUCACAAAUAUAACAUUAUAAUAAAUAUUACACUCACCCCCUUUUAUUUAAUCAUAACUCUUCAUAUUCCAUUAUUUAUAUUUCCAUAUAUAUCAUAUUAUUUCAUAUUCCCAUAAUCAUUAAUUACUAUAAUUAAAGACACACAACCAACAUAGCCGUUGGGUGUUCUUCUAUAUAAACACACCUAGACUUCAUCCACAAAUACACAAUCACACACUCUGUAAUCACAAUUACAGUCAUUGUUUGAUUACUACGAUCUUCAACUUUCACAGUCUUCAAACGCUUCCGCAACACACCAGUUGAAUCAAAGAUUCACCACUCAAUUCAUCUUCAAUUCAUUCCAACAAAGCUGAAGAUCAUCGCUGUAAAGAAGAAAAACUGAUGUAUAGACAGAAACAUCAGACUGAAUAUAUAGAAGAAGCAGGAUAGAGAAAGAAAGAAAGGAGAAAAAGAAAUACAAUGGGGAAGAUACAGUUAGAGAUCUAACUGCCCAAAGAUAGUGGAAUCAACUUUGUAUCCAGAUUGUGAAGAAAGAGGAAUGAGCACAAGAAGCCCUAAUUUCAAUAUGGAAAAAUAUCAAGUAUACAAAACACAAUCUUCAAAAACUAAUUCAUUAGUAUUAGUUUAUACUAUUUAUAAACCUUACUAGGUUAUUUAUCUAUUAGUCCAUUUACUAACUAAUAUUAUUAAUAUACCCUUAUGUGUGAAUUUACACUUAUGGUAUGAUAUUUAAUACUAUCUUUACAUUCCCCCUCAAUAUCAUAAUUGAAUCAAUCAAUUAUGAUAUUGAUCAAUCAAUUAUGAUAUUGAUCAAAAUUUCAGAAACAUGAUCAGAAUCUUUUCCUGCUCCUUUGUCCUUGUCGAGGCCCUUCAUCUUAACGACAUAUAUAGAUCCUUUGUUUAGUCCUUUCUCUGUUCACCAAUUCUUAUAUAGAUCCUGCAUUUAUACAUAUUAUAGAUGUCAUCCAGGCAGGGACCAACUCCCUUUAGCUUCCUUUGCAGUCUUGAUUCCUGCACACAUUCAAGCAUUACAUACCACUCAUAGCUACACAAAUAAUAAUAACAUCAAAUAUUUAACCAAUAUCAUAAUAGAUAUAUAACAUUAUCAAACAUAAUAACAUCAGUCCUGAUUUAUUAUUAUUAUUAUUAUUUAUUAUUAUUAUUAUUUGGUUCUAAGUCUCUUUACUAUCUGGUUUUUGUCAUUUGAUCCUCUACUGAAGAUGCAUUUUCAUCAUUUCUUAUGUCUACUUUUUUCUUAAUAGGACUUAGUUUAUGUUUGUUCCUAUGCCUUCUAAAAUCUUCAGUUCCUAGUAUCUUUGUGAAUCUAUCCGCAAGUUGCUGGUUGGAUGGAAUAUACUCUAUCCUUAUUGCUCCUUUGUUUACUAGUUCUCCAAUGAAAUGUAGAGAGAUGUCCAUGUGUCUUGUUCUUCCACUUGAACUUGGAUUUUUUGCCAAAAAUAUGGCAGAUUUGUUAUCACAUAGCACUAGUGGUGAAGAAUCUAGUUUUAUCCCUAAUUCUCUAAAUAGAUAGCAAAACCACUUUAUUUCUGAUAUUACUCCUGUUAAUGCCCUAUAUUCAGCCUCACAACUUGAUUUUGCUACUGUUGAUUGUUUCUUAGCUGACCAGGCUAUCACAUUAUUUCCAAACCAUAUGCUAGAUCCAGAUAUGGAAAUCCUGUCAUCAGGAUUGUUUCCCCAAUCUGAGUCACAGUAUGUUAUAAGUGUGUUUUCUGACCUAUCUGAGGAAUUAAACCUAAGUCUUAAGUUGAUACUUCCCUUGACACAUCUCAGUACCCUUUUAGCUGUUUGUAAGUGUAUCUCAGUAGGUAUUUGUAAAAACUGACUCAAGUGAUUUACAUGAAAUGCAAUAUCUGGCCUUGUUAGAGUAAGAUAUUGCAGUGAUCCAAUUAUACUUCUAUAAACUUUUGGAUCCUCUAUAGGUGUUCCCGUUUCUUUUAUUUUAGAUCUUCAACUCCAAUUAUUUUAAAAAAUAAAGAUGUAUCUGUUUUGCUAUUGGAAAAAUCAUUCUUUGUUAGAAAAUUUUGUAAUCUGGAGUACCAAGCUCUAGGAGCUUGUUUAAGUCCAUACAAGGCCUUAUGAAGAAGACACACAUGUUUAGGUGAUUUCUUAUCUAUAAAUCCAGUUGGUUGCUUCAUAUAGACUGUCUCAUUUAGAUAGCUAUUUAGAAAGGCAUUUUUAAUGUCAAGUUGUUUUAAUUGCCACCUGUGUGAAGUGGCUAAUGACACAAUUGCCCUGACUGUGUUCAUUCUAACCACUGGCCUAUAAGUUGAGGUAUAAUCCACCCAUUCUUCCUGGUUAUAUCCUUUAGCAACUAACCUUGCCUUAUAUCUUUCUAGGGUUCCAUCUACCUUCUUUUUUAUUUUGAACACCCAUUUGCAUCCCACAAUGUUCAUAUCAUUCGUUUGAGGAACUAGACUCCAUGUAUCAUUUAUUUUGAGAGCAUUCAUCUCUUCUACCAUUGCUUCCCUCCAUUUUUCAUCUUUGUUUGCCUGACUAAAUGAAAUUAGUUCAUCACUGUUUAGUUCUGAAUAGGAGCAUUCAUAGUCUUUGAGUAACACAGAAGGUUGUUUUACUCUAGUAGGAUAACUUUGAGUUUUAGUCACCUCAGGUUGACUACCACUAAUGCUUAAGUUCUGAAGUUGGGAAGAGAGAUCUUCUAUAUUCACUGAGUUUCCAGAACCAUUGCACUGUAUUGGUGUUUCUCUUGUUGUUUGAAUUUCAAUGGUUGUUCUCAAAUUACUGUUUAUUCUACUCUCAGAUCCAUUUCCUUGUUGUAUUAAAUUGUUGUUCCCUUGGGUUAUUUCUUUUCCUAUUGUCAUUGUGGGUAAUAUAAUGGAACAUGUAGUUGACUUUGCCAUUUCUUUUUUUUUUGCUUAUUUCCUUGUUUUAUUUCGCUAAAAAUGGGAAUUCUAGUUCAUUGAAUUUCCGUGCUGGGCCUCCCACCUUCUCUCUGAACCGUCUUUAUGACGCAUUGAAUUCUGAGCUUCUUUCCCCUUCACUUUCUUCCUAUAAAUAGGGUGUUGAUAGUUUUCGUUCUUCUAUCCUCUCUUCCUCCACGAUGAGUAUCCAAGAUAUCCUUAAGGAAUACGGCCGUGAAGUGCAGCUCCAGCAUGCUGCGUGGGCCGCGUGCCUGCUGACGCCCGCUGGCAAGUCCAACACCAUGGCUGUGGCGGAGACUUAGCGACUUAACUCUGUGCUGAUAGACAUUCACCGCCGUCUCUCACGGCUGCACCGUACCGACCUUCCUGCCGAUGUCUCGGUCCCUGGGGCCGGCUCCCGCCGCUGCUCCUGUUGGUGGUGUUCGGUCGAGUUUCCGCUACUCCGUGCACGCCGCUCCAGCUGCCGCUCCAGAAAGAACUGUCGGCCGCCGCCGUCGGUCGCGCGGCCAUCGUGGCUCCCGUGGAUCUCGUCCCUCCCGGCUACUGACCUGCGCCACUUUUUGUCGGGGUCCGCUAGGCCCGCCCUUGGACGAUCCGCGCCCGCUCCUAGGGCUCUUUCGGCCGACGGGGUUGCCUUCGGGUGGUGACGCUUCGCCCGCUCCCUAGUCUCUCGCGGGCGUGGUGUUUAGGGUGCCCUGACGUAUUUUACUUUUAUGCUUUUGUUAUUCCUGUAACUUAUUUAAACUUUUGGCCUUUGUUGUAUUAUUGGCCCCUGUACUUUUCGUCCGUUAGUAUGACGUUGCACUUUUCGCUUUCGGCUGUCCUGGUAUUUUGAUUCUGUUAUUGUUUUCUUUAUUUUCGUGUUGAUACAGUUUUCUGCUAUUCGACGUCCGUCGUCGACGUCGCCCGGGCCCUCUUCGAGCUUCGCUCGUCUUUUGGUUCAUUGACGGUUCUUCCGUCCCCCCUAUCACCUGGCCCGUCCUUCCCCGUGCCCCGUUCUGGGAUCUCCCGCCUGUUACUCGGUUUCGCUAGCCGCUCCGUUCGGUUCCGUUGACUUGCGCUUACGUACGCCCAGGGUCUCUCUGGGGACCCUCGUCCGCGACUCUCCUGCGGCUCAAUCCGCAGCGUAUGUCGACGUCCGCCUGCUGGGGCCAUCAUAUUCCUUACUCGCUCCUGUCGGGUACCGUCUUUCCUUCUGUUCCCCGAUGAUUUGGGCCGCAGGCAUCCAAGGUUCCCCGGCCCAUGUCGACCUGAAGGCCCCAGGUACCCGCGACGCCUCGUCUUUCUGUACCUCUCCCGCUAUAUAAGUCCUCCGCCUUCUCACUAUCCUCACUUCCACUCUAAUUUUUGCUCUCCCUAAUUCUAUCCUUACUCUCCCCCUCUUCCUCUGUUCAGGUUCCCGAUGGCUGCUGCUGCUUUGCGUGCCGCCGGCUCCACCGCGGAUCAGGUUUUUUCAGGGUUAUUUGACAUCCCCGACCCCAAGAAACCCCUGGCCAACAUCACCGCCGACGCCAUUCGCGAUUCGCUAGGUCGCAUGGGCCGGGGUGACCUCGUCUUUACUGAAGCGGGCCGCCGGCUCGCCUCCUCUCCGCCAGAGGGCAUGGUGGCCCUGUCCUCCUCCUAUGCCGACUGCGGCCUUAAGCUACCUCUAUCCCCCCUUUUGUGCGAGGCGGUGCGCUUCUGCCGAGUCUCUUUCUCCCAGCUCCCUCCGGCUUCCUUCGACCGGCUACUGACUUUCUCACUGCUUUGCCGACGGUGCGGGAUCGAAGCUUCACUGGUUGUCUUCUAGAUAAGGCUCCAGAUAAUGUCCAUGCCUCAGGAUCCCCGAUGCAUGCUGAUCAGCCAGCGCGGGGGGUUUCCUCUGUUCGAUCAUUUGGCUGAUCGGUCCCACAACUGGGGCGACCAUUUUUUUUUCGUGUCGGUGGACGCCCUGGGACAGAUUGAUCUCGAAUCGCCGCCGCCGCCUCACUGGGGGCUUCUCACGCAGCUAAAGACACGAACCACCCCUCCGCUCAUGUCUGACCUGGACGGCCCACAGUCGUGCGCAUACGAGGUGUUUAUCAAGGUCUAUUGUCGCGGUUCCGUCAGCGCCCGAGAAUUGGUUACAAAUUGGUCUUAUGACGACCAUCUGCAGAAGUCCAUCUGGACGGACUAUACCCGCGAUGGCCCGCCGAAGCGUGCGGUCGGUAAGAUGCGUUCGGCCGCUGAGACCGUGUUUCUGACGCCUUCGCCUCCACUGUCCUCGCUGCCCGAGCCCGAGCCUAAAGUCGCUCUCAAACAUACCCGGCUCGAGAUGCGACAAAGGAAAAAAAUGCGAGCCGAGAAGAAAAAGCUGGGAAGUCCCCGGUCCUUGCCGCGUACACCUCCUUCUGCUGAGGCUUCGGAUGAGGUGCUGAGCGCCCUCGAGUCUGACGGUCUGGAACCCAAGCUCUUCAAGACCUUCGUCGAGUCCUGCGAGCGUUUGUCUGAACUCGCCGCCGUAGUCAAUCCAUCUUCGUCCCUUCCUCGUGCCGUGGGGAUUCUUCGGAACCGGCUUUUCAACGUUAACUCCUGGUUGCUGCAAGAGGAGGAGUACGUGUCGCAGUUCGCCUGUGCGCCAUCGGACCUCGACCAGGACCACCAUUACCAGCUACUCCAACUGUCCAUUCUCUCCAAGGUGCGCUUGCAGCAGGGCCGUGAUCAAGCUGAUGAGAUGGCGAAGCUGCGCGAACAGGUCGCUUGUCUGAGGGGCGAUGUUGAGGCUGUCACCCGGCAGCGCGACCAGUUGGUGUAGGGGGCUUCCAAAGUCGUUGAAGAGCAUCGGCUUCGCGUGGUCGAGGUCCAGACUGCUUGUGCGGCUGUUGAGGAAGCUGCCGCUGCUGUUAAGAAGCGAACCAUGGCCAAGUUCCUUCCCGUAUUUGAGACGCGCCUCGCCGUCCUAAAGCAGGACCAUUUCAUCGAGUGAAAGGACGCGAAACGUGCCUGUUUCUGGAAGGGCUACGUUCAUGGGCGGGCCAUGUGCACUCUUGCUCUCCCCUCUCUCGCGGACGUCGUGGUGCCCCGGAGCGCUCGCGACUGGGUAGAGUGGAAGGUGACGGGCGGUCCUGACUACCAGCCCCCCUUGGACGUGAGCGAAGGCGAGGAGGAGGAUCUCGAAGCUGACUUCCCCGAAUACAUUGAUCCGCCUACCUUUGACUAGCCGGUCCUUGUGGUUAGCCAUUUUUUCCUCCUUUUUUUUUGUACCUACAUACUUAGUUUUUUUUUAAAAUGAAGACUUUUCCUUUUCUUUGCAAUGUUUUGCGUUCUUACUUAUUGCUCGUUUCCCUCCUAGGGGCGGCCUGGGCCGACCGAACGUUCACGUGUGGUCUUCUGACCUUAGGAACCUUCGACCGGCCUUUUCGGCGGGCCCCCUUUUUGCCUAUCGUUUCCGAUUCGCGUUAUUUUCUUUCCCCUCUUUUGCCCCUCUCUUCGGCCUUUGGGGCGCGUGACAGUAACGAAAAAGAAAGCCUAUAAAAGAUAAAUGGGCGCUUCGGGUGCUUUUCAUUUGGCAUCGUGUGCCUUGGUUGGAGGGGGAAAAAAAUACAACGACAUGAGAAGGGAAAAGGGAGAAGGCGGAGCGACGUCUCGGUCUUCAACGCUUAUACUUUUCCAAGUUGUCGGCGUGCCACGUCCUUUCUAUCUCUUGCCCGUCUUCGUAACCCAGGUAGAAGAUGCCUGGGUGAACCUCAUCUAUGAUGACGUACGGGCCUUCCCAUCUUGCCGAGAGCUUCCCCUUCAUAUGGUCUACUCCCGUUACUUAGUGUUAAUAAUAAAAUAAAAUAUUAUAUUGGAUUGGAUUUGAAUAUUAUAUCUGUGAUUAGGGGUGGACGUGGGCGAGUUAAACCAGAACAUGUUGUGUACGGAUUCAGGUGUAUAUUUUCGACCAUGAAACACAUGAAAAACUUGAACCCGAGUUUUUUCAUCUGAUUUUUUCGAAUCGGGUUCAGGUAAACUCGAACCAAACUCGAUUCAUCCAAAUUUUUUAUAAAAAAAACUUUAAAAUAUAAAUAAAAUUUUAUUUUAUAUAAAAUAUUUUAUAAAAAUUUAAUAUAUACAUUUAAUAAAUUUCCUUUCUUCUUCUAAAAUUUAUUCCCUAAUAUUAUUAUCGAUUUCAUCUUCCCUCUUAUUGCCGUACUCAUCGUAGUCGCCUGAUACAUCUUCACAUUUGAAUCGAGACUGUUUCGGAUACAAUUAUGUGGAAAAUGAAAGAUACAUGUUUCGGAUCUUUUGUUGGCAUGGUCGAUUUCCCAAUAAAAUCGAGACUGUUGGAUGAUUUGGUUGGCUGUUAUGUUGGUAAUUACUGUUUUGAAAUCAAGGGAAAGAAAUUGGAGGUUUCGGUCAAGUAAAUCGGCGAAAUUAUUGGAGUUCCAUAUCAAGGACUGCCAAUUAACAUGAAGCCAAAGGCGAAACCCACAGGUGGAAGAUUUUCCUCAAGCAUCAUUCAAGAUGACUCCAGACAGUGGAGUGUAUGUUCUCACGGCAAUGAAUUAUAUAGUCAUGGGGGACACCGUGCUAUGGAGUAGAAAAGAUGUGGAUCAAAUGGCCGACAAAAUCGUAUAUGAUAUUCUUCGCGCUGUUCUUUUAGAUGUUAAAUGCUACUUACAUUACAAACAAAAGCUUAGAUUGUGUCUGUUAGGGUUUUAUGUAUUCUGUUUAUUACAGGUGAAUUAGUAAAUGGUACAUCUAUUAGUAUAUGUUAUAUCAUUAACUAAUUAAUUUAAUAGCAUUAUCAAACACUGAAAAAGCAUUAAUUAUAAGCAGUUAGGAUAUCUAGCCCUCUGUUUAUCGAGCAUUAAGGAUACCUUGGCCCAUGGACAUUGACUAUACACAUAAUGUCAUUACAAGCAAUCGUAGUAGCAUCCAGGCCAUUCAUUUGCAACAUUACCUAGUAAUAAUAACAUUAGUACGUAGGUUACUAACAUUAAGGAUACCUUGGUCCAUGAUCAUUGACCACACACAUAGUAGCAUUAUAAGCAAUCGGAGUAGCAUCCAGGUCAUUCAUUUACAAUAUUACCAAGUAAUAAUAGCAUUAUUAGGUAGGUUACUACGUUUAAGGAUACCUUGACCUAUGUUUCAUUGACCACACAAAUAAUAGCAUUACAAGCAAUCGGAGUAGCAUCUAGGCCAUUCAUUUGCAACAUUACCAAGUAGUAAUAGCAUUAGUAGGUAGGUUACUACCAUUAAUGAUACAUUGACCUAUGUUUCAUUGAGCACACACAUAAUAGCAUUACAAACAGUCGUAGUAGCAUCCCGGCCUUUCAUUUUUAACAUUACCAAGUAAUAAUAGCAUUAGUAGGUGGUUGACUAGCAUUGCGGAUACGUCAGCCUAUGUUUCAUCGAGCACACACAUAAUAGCAAUACAAGCAGUCGUAGUAGCAUCCCGGCCAUUCAUUUUCAACAUUACCAAGUAAUAAUAGCAUUAGUAGUUAGGUUACAAGCAGUGAGAAUAUCUUGGUCUAUGUUCAUUGAGCACACACAUAAUAGCAUUAGAAACAGUCGUAGUAUCAUCCCGGCCUUUCAUUUUUAACUUUACCAAGUAAUAAUAGCAUUAGUAGGUAGGUUACAAGCAGUGAAGAUACCUUGGCCUAUGUUCAUUGAGCACACACAUAAUAGCAUUAGAAACAGUCGUAGUAUCAUCUUGGCCUUUCGUUUUCAACAUUACCAAGUAAUAAUAGCAUUAGUAGGUAGGUUACCAGCAGUGAGGAUACCUUGACCUAUGUUUCAUUGAGCACAUACAUAAUAGCAUUACUAACAGUCGUAGUAGCAUCCAAGCCUUUCAUUUUCAACAUUACAAGUAAUAAUAGCAUUAGUAGUUAAGUUACAAGCAGUGAGGAUACCUUGGCCUAUGUUUAUUGAGCACACACAUAAUAACAUUAGAAACAAUCGUAGUAUCAUCCCGGCCUUCCAUUUUCAAACCCUAACAUUUUCAUUUUCAAACAGUCGUAGAACAUUCUAAAUAUCAAAGAAUAAACAUUCGUCUUAUAAGUGGUGUUAAUUGUAACUGUAUCUCCGAAUAACUUAAAAUGUUGAAUCAUUAUGGAAUCAACCCAAAAAACAUGUUUAAGUCUACCACUAGAAUCCUUGACAAUAGAAUAAAAGAAAUCCGGUUGUACAGACUUCUUCAUUUCGAAUUCCUCGACCAGUAGAUCAACGCCAUAAUUCUUCAGAUCGACAUGAUCGUCACGACACAUAUUCGAUAUAUCCAAUUGCGUACAUCCCAUAUGUUCGAUUCCACCAACUUGAGUUGAAAAAUAAGCAGUUUGCUGUGAAACGGGUACAUUGACUUCACUAAGAGAUUGGAAAAGUAAUCUGGAGGUAGAGGAUAUCGAACGAUUUAUGGGAAGGAACCGUACUUUUGAAGAUGUGGUGAGGGGAUGAUUGUGCUCAAGAACAAUAUGUUUAACAAUCCAUACUUCAGACAUACCUUCUCUCUUUAUUUUAAUACUUGCACAACAACCACACCUUGAAAAUACAUUCUUACGUCGCUUGUCUAAUUUAGAAGGAUGUAAUAGAUCAACUGUUCCUUCUUUCGAACACAACAAUCGUCCCAUAACUAAAUUUUUUUUACCGUACGUCAUCCUUACUGGUUUUAUAGUUAGUAGAACCCAAACGAACGGAGAAACCCAUUUUCGACGCAUAACCAUAAUAUUGAUCAAGAGCAUCAGAAUAUGAGGAAUAAAUUUGACCAAAAGUGAGUGAUGAAUUCAAUUUAGCAUUGUCUGAAGAAGAAUUGGUAUCAGUGGGUUGUUUGGGAACGAAAAAACUAGGAGAAGCAUUGACGGAAGAAGUAAUAGCAUUAGGUAGUCCAGUUCCAUCAUUAUUCUCAGAAGAAAUAAGAGUACGCAGAUUGUCUAAUGGAGUGUCAUGGUUUUGAUGAGGAACAUAAUUAGAAUUACGAAUAAGUGGGAAAUCAUUGAUUCUUAAACAUUGUACAUUACCAUGGGUUUCAUUAGGAUUACAAUCAGAUGGUUUUUCUGUUUGGAUAGAGUAAAAAUCGAGACUAACAUUACACUGAGGUCUAGAAUGUUGUGUGGGUGGAAUCAAUGGUUGGGCAUGGAGUGGACGAUAUGGGAGUGGUGUGAUAUAUAUAGAGGAGGAAUUAGGAGAGAAAUGAAUGGUGUUUUUAGGCUCAAUGUUAGGUUGUUGUAAGGGUGAUGAUUGAUCAAUAACAUUUAAUGAAUUUAGAGUCGACACACCUUGAUGGAUGUCAAAGUCAUUUAAUGGUGAAAAGAUGGUAAGCGAAAAAACAAAAGGGUAAGACAAAAACAAGAAGAAUAGAAGCUUGCGUGGAAAAAAUAAAACGAAUAAAAAAAUUAAAAAUAAAAUAAAAAACUACACGUGGGUUGCGCGUGUUGAGGAAAAAAGUUUCACCGGUUACGAAGGGUGGGGAUUAUUUGUGUGAUUUUGGAAGGCUGCGAUGCCUUCGCAUUGUCAGCUGAUGCGAAGGCAUUCGCAGCUGAUUUAUUUUGCUAAUAUAUAUUUCAAUAGAGAUGAUCGGGUAUAUAUGAAUGAUGGUGAUUGACUGAUUGGAUAUGAUAUGACUAUUAGAAUACCAUGACGGUUGCCGGAAAAAAAUAUUGACAGUCUAGCCGUCAAAAACUUAAAAAGAAAAAUUACACUAGUGACCAGACUGUAAAAAAAUUUCUCUUUUUAAAAGGAAAAAUAGUAUCCCUGAUUACGAUGACUAAGCCGUAAGUAUCAACGUAGAAACAUCACUGACAAUCUAGUGGUCAGUAAUUACCCAUUAGAAAAAUACUAUUAUUUUAUAGUGACAGUAGGCUGGUUUAUCUUAAUUUUAAUAAUAUAAUAUUAUAUCGUUAAUUUCAAUGUUAUGACUUAUGCUAUAAUACAAAUAUUAUCAGGUGAUUUCUUAGUGUUAAUAAUAAAAUAAAAUAUUAUAUUGGAUUGGAUUUGAAUAUUAUAUCUGUGAUUAGGGGUGGACGUGGGCGAGUUAAACCAGAACAUGUUGUGUACGGAUUCAGGUGUAUAUUUUCGACCAUGAAACACGAUAUGAAAAACUUGAACCCGAGUUUUUUCAUUCGAUUUUUUCGAAUCGGGUUCAGGUAAACUCGAACCAAACUCGAUUCACCCAAAUUUUUUAUAAAAAAACUUUAAAAUAUAAAUAAAAUUUUAUUUUAUAUAAAAUAUUUUAUAAAAAUUUAAUAUAUACAUUUAAUAAAUUUCCUUUCUUCUUCUAAAAUUUAUUCCCUAAUAUUAUUAUCGAUUUCAACUUCUCUCUUAUCGCUGUACUCAUCGUAGUCGCCCGAUACAUCUUCACAUUUGAAUCUUCACAUUAUUUAAUAAUUAUUUGAUAUUUUAUCUUAUUUAAGAUUUUAAAAAUUAUUCGAUAAAAUUAUUUAAAUAACAAGAUUUUUUAUAUAAAUUUUUAAAAAAAAAUUAUUAAACCCGAACUGACAUCCAAAUCAAGUUAAGGUUUUAUAAUUUUAAAAAAUUCGAUUAGUGUGAUGAUAGGAGUUAUCAGGAUAAACCUAACAAUGAAUACGAAUAAACAUAACGAUGAAGAUUAAGAAUAUACUGAACAUAAUGAUAAAAAUCAGCUGCUGAUUCACAGAUGAUUAAAGUAGAAAGGUGUUAAAAAAAAUUCAAACUUUGCACCAGAGGUCCAAAACGAACAAUCCGGGAAUUUCUAAUCGAUCUCAGAUUAUCUCCCGUAUUUUUUCUUCCUUGAAUCGCCAUCAUUAUCAUCAUCGACAACAUCAUAAUCAUCAUUAUAGCUAUCAUCGUCUAGGGUCCCAAUCCAAUUAAUGCUGAGUCGUUUGAUCAUGUAUCGUAGAGAUUAAAGUAGAAAGGUGUUAAAAAAAUUUCAAACUUUGCACCAGACCGAACAAUCCGGGAAUUUCUGUUCGAUCUUAGAUUGUCCCCGGUGUUUUUUCUUCCUUGAAUCGCCAUCAUUAUCAUCAUCGUCAUCAUCAACAAUAUCAUAAUCAUCAUUAAUGCUAUCAUCGUCUAGAGUGUAUUAAUUAGGUGAGUUGUGGUACCAAUUUUACCAACCGAGAUGCAGGUUCGAUAAAUGAAGAAGAGAAGUUUGAUACAGGUAGAGAGGGAUCCAUUUCUGUAAAUAGAAGGGCACCGGAACGCGGGAUGGAGUUGGUUGACGUGAUAAACUCCAGGUUCCUGGAGCAUAUACCGGUGGAUUGGAUCGUUGUGAUGUUGGCAUUUGGUGGUUUGGUGAUUCUAAAAUAUUUCAUCUUCUUCCUGAGAUGGAUCUACGUCUACUUUCUGAGACCAUGUAAAGAUUUGAAGAGAGUUUACGGUUCAUGGGCAAUCGUCACUGGUAGCACUGAUGGUAUCGGAAGAGCCAUGGCUUUAGAAUUGGGUCGGAAAGGAAUGAAUCUGGUACUCAUCGGACGGAAUCCUGGUAAAUUAAAAGCAGUCUCCGACGAGAUCCUGACCGGAGAAUAUUGUCGUGGUUCUAAAGACAAGGACAGCAUACGUGUGAAAACAGUCGUGUUUGACAUGUCCGGCGACCUAAUCGAAGGAAUAGCUCUGGUCGGAGAAGCAAUCAAAGGGCUGGACGUGGGAGUUUUGGUCAACAACGCCGGAUUGAACAACUCAAACGGUAUUUUCUUUCAUGAAGGGAGAUUAGAGCUAUGGAGGGAGAUUGUGAAGAUUAACGUAGAGGCUAUAACAAUGGUGAGUAAAGUUGUUAUUGAUGGAAUGAUAGAAAGAGGGAGAGGAGCCAUAGU
Molecule: long non-coding RNA, 62876 nt
Filed under: Zostera marina
Lineage: Eukaryota; Viridiplantae; Streptophyta; Magnoliopsida; Alismatales; Zosteraceae
Description: long non-coding RNA (ZMAR_LNC001465)
Source: RNAcentral